UAUCAUUUAGCACUUAGGGGGCGUCUGGAUUGACGAAUCUGUAGAUCCAACGUAAGUCAAGUGCAGCGGUGUUUGAAUUUUUUUGAAGUGUAAUUAUUUUUUUGUUGUUUGUUUUGACGUAGCUCGUACAGUCUGAAAGUUAAAUUCAAUUACUUCUUUUGUUUAUUUUGAUAUAACUUGGUGUUGAUAAAAUUAGUUUUUUAAGUUUCGUUGUUUAUUUUGAUGUAAGUAAGUGAAUCCUGUUAUCUCCUAAAUAUAGCAGUAAAUUUACUGCUAUAAACUUUAACCUAUUAUAUAAUUAAAUUUUUUAUUAUUAUUUAAAGAUAAUCCUAAUUUAUUAUAAAUAAAGUAAUUCUAAUCCAUUAUAAAGGAAGUAGAGUUUAGAUUUACUAUUUAAUAAAUUUUUUAGAAAAGGUUGAAUACGGCGGAAGUCGAGUUCGACACUUUAGAGGAGAAAGUUGAGAGUAGGUGAAGUGAAGAUCUAACAUAACUUGAAUUACAUUAUAUUUUUGACUUACACAAAAUUAAAUAACGAAAGUGAUAGAACUUGAGUUCCAUCACUUCACUUAAUGGACCCUUAGUUGAAUACAUUAUAAGCUAAUUAAAUAUAACAAUAUAAAAAAAAAAAAUUUCGCUACAUCAAAUUAAUUAUAUAGAGUUAGUUUUUAAAAUAUAAAAAGUAAACAUGAUAUCACAGGUGACCUUAAAUUUUGAUAAGUGAAUACUUUAGUUAUUCAAAAUUAUGAAGAGAAAUGAUUCGGUACUUUAUUAUUAAAAAAAUAAAAUAGAUCUUAACCAUUGAUUAAUAGAAGGUAAAAAUAUAAUUUUAACAUUUAGCUGGUAAAAGAGUUAUAUCAUUCGAGAUUAUUUUGGUAAUUAAACUAUGGAACAUUUAAAGAAACUUUUAAUUGAUAUUCUAAAUUUAUGCAUUAAUUUAUACUAAUUUGGAAAAUUGAUUGAUUAUCCUAAUUUAGCCAUUAAUUAGGCAUUAAUUUACGCAUUUACUUUAGAAAUUUUAGUGUUUCUAAAAUUUAGGCAUUAAUUUAAAUUAUAGAAAUUUUAGAAAUAGUUCUAUUUCUAAAUAUAUUGAAUUUAAAUAUUAAAUAUUAAAUAUUUAAGAUUAAAAAAUUGAAAUUUAAGUUAGAGGAAAAAUUUGUAAUGUUGGUAAUUAUUUCAAUUCAACAUACUUAAUAUAUUUAAGAAAAUUUUAAAUUCCUAUAGUUUAGACAUUAAUUUUGUAUCACUUAUUUAAAAAAAUUUGAAUGUAGGUAAAAAAAUUAUAAAUUAAAUGUAUUUAAUAUGUUAAAAAAAUUUAGAAUUGUUCUACUUUAGACAUUAAUUUUGUAUCAUUAUUUUAAAAAAUUUAGAAUUGUUCUACUUUAGAUAUUAAUUUAGGAUUACUGUUCAGAAAAAAAAAAGACUAGGAAUUUGAAUUCGAGCCCGAUUAACAAUUGCAAAACUUAUUUCCGAACUUGACGGAUAUCAAAAAUCCAUAUCUAAACCCGAAACUGACCAAUUUUUCGGAACCCAAAACCAAGCCCAAACCCGGAGACCGGAAACAAAACAAUUAUUUCUCUUUAUCAUAUUUCAAAAUAUUUUAUAUUAAAUUUAAAUUUUUAAAAUAUAAAUUCGAAUAUAAUAUUAAACUUAUAUAUAUGAUUUGGGUCGGAUUCAAGAUGGAUAUAGACAAAAUUCAUAGUUGAUCCACAAAAUAAUCUUAUGUCCUUGUUGUCAAAUAAUUUGAAACUUUUCUUAUAUGAAAUGUCAAAAUAUGAGAGGAAAGAUAGAGAGAGAAAAAAGAAACAAAGAGAGAAUAAAAAUUUUGAUAAUAUAGUCACUACAACAGAAUUAGGUUAUAGGGACAUAUGUUGGGGACACUUUUAAGUAAGUGUCCCAUUUAUGCUAAAACUUAAAGAAACAUCUACUAAUGCCUAAAUAUAAAGCCCAAUCAACCAAAAAUAAAAGAUUACUCUACUCAACCAACCACACUCAGUCCAUUUGGCCGAUUACAAACAGAAAAGAAAAAAAAAAAGAAAAAUUAAUUACCAUAUUUUCUUCUCUCUUCACUCAAUCCACUGAAAUUUUAGACGAAGAGCCAUUCCUGUCGUCCUCCUCCACCACCGCAGCCAACGAGAUAGAGUUUCGGCGGUUGCUAAAUGCUUAAAUAAGUUGUUGGUAAAUUAGUAGCACUUUUUUAGGUUAUAGCGACACUCUUUAACUAUCACUAUAUACCUAGCGACCUCACAUAUAGCAACAUUUUUUAAAAGUGUCAGUAAUUUUAGCUAGCAGCACUUUUUUGACACGUACCUACAUUUAAAAGUGUCGCUAUAGACCGUUUUUGUUGUAGUGAGUAGAGAUAAAAUGACUAAAUUGCUCAUGUAUUAAAAGACAAAAAUAUUCUUUUUUUAGGUAGCUAGUUACCGGUAAUUCUCCCAAAGUGACCUGCUAUUACAGGUCACAAUUUUAAGAAAAUUAAAUCUGAACCGUUGAAUGGGAGUGAAUGAACGGUAACGAAAAAAAAAAGUAUAGAAGCAUUACUCAUUAAAUCUUGAAUUUUUGCUAUGAAUUAGGUUUCAACUCCUUCAUGCUAGAAUAGAUUAAACGAAAAAAAGGCAUUUAUAUUAAAAAAAAAUGAUCAUUUAUAAAAAAAGUUUAUUUUUCAAUUAGAAAUUAAAUGACGUAAAUAAAAAGUAAAGGGACCCACUUGACUUAACGGGAUAGCAUAGGGAGCAUCCAUACAAUUAAAUCCUGAUUGAUGAUGGAUUUUGAUGCAAUUAAUUUUUCUAACAAAUAUAAUUCAAUUCCUUUGUGGCGAAUAAAGUAGAGCACACACUGAUAAAGCAGACCACACGCACUACACAGAGAUAAGAAAGUGGGAGAGCGGGUGUAGAUCGACUAGACUUGGGCGAUGAGCUCUCCCGCGGGCGAAGGGAGCAAGAAGGAACUAGCGGCCGAGUCAAAGGCGGCGGCGGUGUCAUCGCAAACGACACAUGCCAGGCGGUGCCUGUGCUCGCCGACGAAACACAGGGGCUCUUUCCGGUGCCGCCUCCACCGUUCGAGUUCGUCGGCACGGCUGCUUCGGUCCAUGUCCAUGCCGGCUUCCAAGCCAGCCGCGGAGCAGCUCGGUUCCAAGCCCCUCGAGACCACCUAAAUUAAUUCAACACAACAUACUGCCUUCUUUUUCUGCCUUCUUUUUCUUUCUCUCGUCUUUUUGUGCUUCUUUUCAGUUCAUGUGAAUCACAGGACUGAUUAAGUAUAAAGUAAGCAAGUGUUAUACAUAUGUAUAAACCUUUCGAGACGCACGUACAUCUUACUGCCGUUUGCAUAAGUGCACGAAGUUUUGUGAAUAAUAUUAUUGUUGUGUUGAUCUACUCAGAAAAAAUUAUAGCGUUUAUUAAUUGUGUGAAAUCAGUGACCAUACGGGCUAUUUUUAAAACUUUUGGUGAGAGUAUUGUUGGAUGUGGCCCAUAUAAUUUAUUCAAAGAUAGAGUCGUUCUAUUCAAAUCGAUUUAUAAAAAUACGAUAGAUUUAACGGUUAGAAUGUAUCUGGAUACGUUCUUGAUGAAUGGACGUGAUUUAACAUCUUUACAUCAAGUUAUAUAUAAAUAUAUAAUAUACAAGUCCCGAUCUAACUCUAAUUCUAAUUUCUGUAAUAACUCCAUCUCAAGGUAUAAGGCUAUUAGACUCAAAACGUUCCGCUCUCUUACAGAUCGUGAACGAGGACGAACCAUGAGUAAGAAUCACCUGUCCUAGAAGCGAGGCGUGCAGAGCAUUGUUUUAGAAGUGAAAUUGCCCCUCCACAUGCGAGGCUUUCCAGCAAUUACUCCUAGCGGUACAAUGACCACAUUCCACCCUGUCGACACGCUUUCAAGGUCGUGCAAGAUUCAUAUCCAGCAAAAGAAAACUCGGCAAAAAUCGGUGGACAAGAUGAAUAGCGAGUAAGCAGGAAAAGACGAGAGGGUUUAAGUAUGCUCGGGUUCUUCUUCAACUCAUGCAACCUCGCCCAAUAUUUAUAAUUAAGGCGAGAAUCUUGCUCUAACGCGUCAAAUCCGUGUAGAACAAGAUAAGCCUACGAUUAUACGGAUAAACAUUAGGAUUAGGAUAAAGAUAAGAAUUAAAAUAAAGAUAAAAUUAAAAAAAAUAAAAAUAAAAAUAAAAUAAACUGGGUGUAUGGACUGCGCGCCGUCGCCCGGCUCGUGCUCGUGCCGUGCGUGCGUGUAUUUAAACAGGAGCAUUACUCUCACUUUGUUCCAAACAACUAGCUUGAGAAUAAAGGAAUAUAUAAAAAGCACAAACACCCUUUUGGUUUUCAAUGUAGGAAUAAACAUCAAACAUAAAAUUUUAGUUCGGCUCCCAAGCAGCUCAUUAAUAAUUAUUGAGCUCUCAAGAGACUUUAACAAGUUUUAAAUCACAAAAAUCUAAUAAAACCCAAUAAAAUUCAAUAAUUUUUACGUGGUUCGGCCACCGGCCUAGUCCACGGGCGAAGACGGAGCAAAUAAUUUAUUAAUAUCGAAAGACGGAGUACAAGAAAAUCUCUGAAAACUUAAUUAGAUCCGAAACGCCGAAAGUCGCGCCGUAUAAGAGACUCCAAAAUUGGCUUCUCUCUCACCACCCGUACGGACCACAACUUGAUCUGAAUUAGUGCAUACGGCUCCUCAUAUGCUCACUUAAUUAAUUAGAGCUCCAACUCUCUCUUGGCCUUAGUUAGUUAAUUCGUAAAUUAUUCGCGAAUUAUUCGCGAAUUUUUGAAAAAACGAAUUAAUCGGCCAUAUACGUAUUUUUUCCAAAAAUUCGGAAAAAAACGUGUUUUUUUGGGUACAAAAACGUAUUCGCAAAUAAUCCGUGUGCCGAAUAAUUUUGCCAAAAAGACACCGCGUCGCGGCUCGCGAGUGUGAGCGAUCGCGCGCUGGUCGUGGGCCUCGCGGGCCUCGCGGCCCGCGAGCGCGAGCACGAGCGCUCGCGCACGGAUCGCGGGCCUCGCGGCUCGCUCGCGAGCGCGAGUGCUCGAGCGCCGCUCGCCCAAACAAAAAAAAACCUCCUGUUUAUUUUAAGGCAUAAACAGAAACAAGAAAUAGAAAAAGGAAAAAAGAAAAAAAAAAUAAUUUCGCCAACGCUCGCCCCCUCUCCCAAAAUAAAGAUAUCAUUCUAUCAAAAAAAUUUAAUUUUUUAUAGACUAUCUUAAUCUUUUAUUUAUUUAAUUAUUUAUUUAUUUUAAAACAUAAUAUAGUUUGCUAUUUUUUUUACUUAAUCAGUUUAAUUUUGUAGCUCUUUAUUCUUGUAUUCUUAAGAAAUAUAAAUAUUUAUGCUAACAACAUAAAUCUUAAAAGAAAAUAAAUUUAAUUUAAUAGCUGAAUUUUUUAUUCCGAAUUUUUAAUUGGUGAACGUAUAAUAUCUGUAUAAAUCACGUAUUUGAAUAAUUGACAAAUCCGUUUUUUAGCCGUAUUUUUUAAUAAAUUUAAAAAUUAGAAAACGAAUUUUAUCCGAAUUAUAUCCGUACCGAAUUUUUGCCGAAUCCGAAUUAACUAACUAUGCUCUUGGCUCAUGAUGUUGCUGCCACCUCCUGUCACGAAACACCAAGGCUAUCAUAACAUGAUAAAUGAAAACCCAGUUUGGAAUCUCAGUUUGGAACAAGGUGGCGAGCGUGGAGGCGCGGCGGUGCGGAGCGGGGGCGGCGGCAGUCGGGCAGCGUGGUGGGCGCCGGCGUGGCGCGGCACGCGCAGGGCACGCGGGGGCGCGGCAGGAAGCGCGGAGCCGGCGGGCGCGCGACAGGUGCGGCGACGGGAGGCGCGGGCAAGGGCGAGCACAGGGGCGCGGGCCGGCGGGCGUGCGGGGCGGGCCGGCGUGCGCCGGGCGAGGGGCUGCGCCGGCAGGCGGACACGUGGGCGGGGCACGCGUGCGCGGGAGAGGAGAGGAGAGGAGAGGAGAGGCGGGCGCGGGGCGCGGGCGGCGCGCGGGGCGCCGGCGGGCCGUGGGCGCCGACAGGCGGCGGGCUCGGCGGGCCGCCGCGUGGUGGCAGGGGAGAGGAGCGGAGAGGAGAGGAGAGGAGAGGAGGAGGCGGGCCCAGCUGAGGGGAGAGGAGAGGAGGAGAGAAGGGAUUUUUUUUUUUUGUCUCUUUUUUUCUCUUUUCUUUUUCUUUAAUUAUUUUUAUAUUUGUUUUUUAAUAUAUGAUUAAAAAAUUUAUAAAUUUUUUAAUUCAAUCAUAAAUUUUAUUUAUUUUUAUAAAAAUUUAAAAUAUAUAAAUAAUUUUUAAAUAAGUUAAUUAUUUGUAUUCAAUAUAAAUUUUAAUUAAGCUGAAUAAAAGAAUUAUUAAAAAUAUAUAAAAAUAAUGAAGGAAAUUAAAAAUGAACAUAAAAAAAGUAAAAAAAAUAAAAAUAAAAGGAUAAGAUAGAUAAAGAAGAAUAGAGGCAAAAUGUAAGAACAAUAAAUCAAUUUUCUAAAAAUUAUAUUAAUUAAUAAUAAUUAUAAUAUAUAUAGUAUAAAUAUAAUUAUAUAUAAUUUUUUAUUAGUAUGAUUUUUAUCUUUAUUUUGUAAUCUUUCUUAUAAUUUUAUUAAGCAAUAGUUGUUUUAUUUUUUAGUUAUUUUUUAUACAAUUUUUUGACUCUUUUUUUUUAAUUUUUAUUUUAUUUAUAUAUUUAUUUCUGUAGAAUCGUUUCCGCCGCAACGCGCGGGUCCUUCACUAGUUAAGCAUGAAGCUCGGCUCUCUCCGCAGCAUCCGUACCUCCAAGAGACUUAAUUAAUUAGUGAAUGGCCUCUUAAUUGCUCCAGCUUCAUUAACAUGGCCACAUAUUUUAUAGGAUGUGGCUUCAAAUUAGAGUCUAAUUAGAACUCUAAUCAAUUGGAUUUCUAAACACAAGUCGAAUCUAAUUCAAAAUUGAUUAGAUUCCGAUCAUAAUCCAUAUAUGCCAAAUUAUAUCCUUGCCAAUUAGAUUAGGAUUUAACUCAAUUUAGAUAACUAUAAAUCUAACAAAAUAAUAACAAUGUUGCGGUCGGCAAGCCUCAAUCGAGACCGGCGUUUGGAGAAUGGAUCACCGACCUCACUGCAUUAAGCGACUCAAGAAGUAAAAAAAAAAAAAAAGCGACGUGACUUUUAGUGCUUAUUUAGGACCUGCAUUCGACGUCAACCACCUAGUAGGAACUCCAAGAUAUGCCUAACUAGACACGACCUCCUUAUCGUGAUCCCUAGCCUCUCCCGCUGUGAAUGACUCUGUAAACAAAAAUAACAACAAACUGGGCAUAAGAACUACGUUGUCAAUAGUUUCCCGUGGGUAAGCCGCCGACAUCAACGAAUUACACCACUAGAUCCCUGUAGUUCGGCUUACGCCAUGCCUAAUGGUCCUGUGGUAGUAUACACUCUACAAGGCAAUCCACUUCGAUGCCCAAUCUUGCACAGGUGAGCAUGAUGUCACGUAGGCCAACUCCAGAGUGCCGACUUGUGGAAAGCGACCCUCACAAGCAUGUGCGAAUGGGUACAAUGGCAAGCAAGCAUGAUCCACACUACAAAACUCUCAAUCGUCAUGUUUAAAACAUGGCAUGUCCUCUAACGACCCAUAGGUCGGAGACUACGUCACAAUGUCAAGUUCUAAUCAUUUAAGUAAGUCAUACACAUCAAUAUUAAGUUCAUGCUACAUGUUAUCAUAUAAUUGCCAUUUUCACUUGUCUACACAAGUAUACUACAAGUCAUGUAAGGUAUACUACACAUAAUUAAUAAGCAACGCUUUCCACUGCAUAAAGGUAUGACUUAGCCAUAUGUGACAUACAUAAUUAAAACAUCCAAAAUUCACUUAUAAUGCAUCUAACAUGAGUAUGCAUGAUUUCCAAUUGUAUAAUAAAAACAAGAAUAUAGGGGGAGUUCACCCAUUUCAGUGAGGUUAAACCCACCGGAUAUUCCUCGGAUCCCUUCGAUGCUCGAACGAAGAUGCCUUCUAGCCUUCUAGCACCUUAACAACAAUUCUAAAUCAAUUAGGAGCUUCUAAUACGCCUGCCAUAAAAUCCUCAUAAUUCAACCCAAAAAAUGUUAGAAAGAUACAUGAAAUAGAGAAGAACUCUAUUCCACACUCCACCUAAGGUUGGGAUGCUUUAAGUCCAACCUAGAAGAGAGUUUAACAAUUACCAAUUAAGUUCUAAAGCUCAGCCAAGAACAAUCCCAAAAUCAAACUCCAAUUCUACCAAAAUCACAUACCGAAAAGGCAAAUAAAAAGCUAACCUCUCAAAGCUCCAAGCCAAACCCAACCUUGAGCUAGAAUUGGAAGUUUAUCCUCAAACUAACCUCCAAAUUCACAGCAACCUUCACCAAGGUGCAGGAACAAUCCUCCAAAGAAAAGGUGAAUAAAAUAAGAUCAAUCCCCAAAUUCACAAAGAAAUUGGAAAUGAAAACUAAAGAGAGAGGAGAAGCCUACCGGUUUUUCUUCAAGCUCUGGCACAAUGAGAGCCAGCUUGGGUCGGUUGGGGAUAAACCCAAUAGCCAAAUUACUAAAAGACCCCUUACCAACUGAAUAUGCCGCAUUGCGUAUCGGUUCCAGUAUUGGAGUACCGGUACCCGACACUCAGAUACGCAAAACCCUGAGCGCGGGGUCUUCGGGUUUAAUACAGUGUACCGGUAUCCGCCUGAUGCAGUACCGGUACUUAGCUCCAGUACCGGUACUCAUCGACUCAAUACCGGUACCCAACACCCAACUUCUCAACCCGAGAGCUACCCAUUCUAGCAACCCUUUGGGGUACCAGUACCCCACUCAGGUACCGAUACUCAACACUCUAAACCCUGCAAUUUGCAGAUUUUAGUAUCAGUACUCCAAUCUCACACUUAGCGAGUUAUGUGAGGAAUCGAUACACUACUGUUGAUCCCCAAAACAGCUAGAAUAGUUCAAAACAUUAUUCUUACACUAGAACCUUGCAAUUUGCUAAAGUUCAGUGCACUACAUUCUCCCCUCCUAAAAAAGAGUUUCUUCCGUGAAAGUAAAAAUCGAAUACCUCAAGACGCCAUCUGAAAAGGAUGGGGAUAGUGCUCCUGAAAUGCACUUUCCAGCUCCCAAGUGGCUUCGCGCUCGUCGUGGUUAUUCCAAAGCACUUUCACAUAAGGUAGAUUGUGAUUCCGAAGCCUUUUCACUUCACGAGCUAAAAUCCGCACUGGUUGCUCCUCAAAGCUCAAGUCCUCUCGCAGCUCUAAUAGUGUAGAAUCCAAAACAUGAGCUAGAUUGAAAAUGUAUUUCCGAAGUGCCAAAAUAUGAAAUACAUUAUAUACUCCCGAUAGGUUCGACGGUAAAGUAAGCCGAUAAGCUAUCGGGCCUACACGCUCCAAUACUUCAUAGGGUCCAAUGAACCGAGGACUUUAACUUUCCUCGAAUGCCAAACCUUUUAAUUUCCUUUGUCAGCAAGACUUUCAAAAAAACAUGGUCUCCAACCUGAAAUUUCAAUUCUCGUCGACGCUUAUCUGCGUAGCUCUUCUGUCUACAUUGAGCCGCAACCAAUCGCUCUCAUGCAAGGCGAACCUUAUUUGUAGCCACCUGAAGCACAUCUAGACCUAAAAUCAGCCUUUCACCUAUUUUACUCCAAUGAAGUGGCGAUCUACAUUUUCUUCCAUAAAGAGCUUCAAACGGUGUCAUUUUAAUACUUGCUUGAUAACUGUUGUUAUAAACAAACUCUUCCAUAGGUAGAUGCUGUGGCCAUCCGCUAAGAAAGUCAAUCACACAAGCCCGAAGCAUAUCCUCCAGAAUCUGGAUAGUGUGCUCAGACUGCCCAUCACACUGGGGGUAGAACGUAGUGCUAAAAUCCAGUCGAGUGCUUAAUACAUCAUGCAGACUCCUCCAAAAAUGUGAUACAAACUGAAAAUCUCGAUCCGAUAAAAUAGACAUAGGCACUCCAUAUAGUCGCACAAUUUUAUCAAUAUACACUUGUGUGAGCCUCUCUCCCGUCCAAAUGUGUGAAUCGGAAUGAAGUGAGCAGAUUUUGUCAACCUAUCCACCACCGCCCAAAUGACGUCAUGACCAACUUGUGAGCGAGGCAAGCCCAUAAUGAAAUCCAUGGUAAUCCUUUCCUAUUUCCACAAAGGUAUAGGUAAACUCUGAAGUAUCCCCGCAGGUAGUCGACGCUCAGUUUUUACUCGUUGACAAAUUAAGCAUUGAGCUACAAACUCUCCAACAUUCUUUUUCAUUCCGGGCCACUAGUGCACUAACUUCAAAUCCUUGUACAUCUUUGUACUUUCCGGAUGUAGAGCAUAAGGUGCAUGAUGAGCUUCUACCAAAAUUUUCUCUUUAAUCCUCGACUCUGCUGGUACACAAAUUCUACUGCAAAAAUCGCAUCAAUCCUUGUUCAUCCACAUGAAAGUCACCGGUAUAUCCCUUAGUGAUUUUAGAUCGAAUCCUUGCAAUUCUACAUCGAGAACUUGCUUUUGUUUUAUCCUAUCUAUUAAACUGGGUUGUACCACCAAUGACAUUAAUUGCAAAGGCGUGUCGGGAGCCAGAACUUCUAGUUCCAACCGUUUCAUCUCUUCUAUUAACGGUGGUAGCGAGGCUACAAGCAUUGCCAAAUUUUCAGUUUACUUGCGACUUAGAGCAUCCGCCACCACAUUAGCUUUUUUCGGGUGGUAAAGAAUUGUCAGAUCAUAAUCUUUGAGCAACUCUACCCACCUGCGCUGCCUCAAGGUUCCAGUGUCCGGAUUGUCACACCCCGGGACCGACGCCAAUUUGGCCCGACCCGAGCACGUCAAACAGACGCCGAACGGACAGAGUUUUCCCUAUCCGCCCAAGGCUCAUCACAUGUACAUUUUCAUCAAAAGAGAAAAGCACUAGCGGAAACAUACACAAACGGCUUACACGAGGGUAAGCAAUAGCCAUUAGUGAAAGAAAAAGGAAACUAAACAUUCACAAGUAAUAUGAUUCAUUUUAGAUCAUAUACAUUGCAUCCAUCUCUUACAUUUAGGAUUCUUUGCAUUUCCUUACAUAAUUUCAUCAUUUCUUUCUUACAUCACAUUUACCUCAAAAUAAGCUUUACAUUCUUUUCCUUACAUCAUUUACCACCAUGUACAAAAGAUGAUCAUAGGGUAUUUUACUACAAAAUGAAACCCAACUUUGGUGGCCCCUGACUAAGGCGCGAUACCUUUACCUCGGUCGCUCGCCGGCUCGCUCGGUCCCGGCUCUGUGGAAAUAGUGGGGUGAGAACUACAACAAAGUUCCCAGUGGGUUCGGCCUCAACAUCACCGACUUUCCCACUAGGACUAACUCAGGCAUAAUAGAAAGGAUAAGCUGAAAUAUAGUAACCAAUCUACAACAUGAUGCUAAUAUGCCUGAACAAAAGUAAGGAAUAUGCUCAACAUUAACAUAUGCAGAUUAUGCAAAUUCUUUCGUUCUUUAUCUUUACACUUUGUUCUUUGUUUUUUGCUCUUUGUUCUUUAUUCUUUAUUCUUUAAUCUCAAGGCUAUCCCGGGGGCUUCGCCACAUUAACUUGCUUCACAUUAACUCCAUCGUCGCAGGAACUCACCCGUUAGGACCGUCCUUCGGGUUUACUCCAACCCGUGAUGCAUAACUCCGGAUCGCAUCGCCCGAGGGGGAGCGACCGCCCUCGAGCACGGAACUCAUAGCAAGUAUGAUCAUAUCCUUAACUCAAAGGAUUUAUAGUUCAAUCUUGACUUUACACUAGCUCUAGUGUUCUUUCAUCACUUUAUGUUGCUAACUCUAGCAAUCAUUGUUCUUUACUUUUCUUUUACUUUUGCCAUCUUUAGCAUUCUUCUUCUUUACAUUUCUUGUUCCUUACAUUUCUUGUUCUUAUUGCCCCUCUUUACUUUAACUUUACACAUAUUGUCACUUUCAUCAUUCUUUACAUCACUUUGGUUCUUUAUCUCACACUAUCUCUAGUGUCAUUUCACUUUAACUUUAUCAAAUGCCACUCGAUCUAUGUCAUUGUGUCACUCUGUUCUUUUGCUCACUUUGGGUGCUCACUUUUCUCUCAUGCAUAUGCAUAGGAUUUUCGACAUCACAUAGUUCUCAUUCAUCAUAUCAUGCAAGUUGUACUCACAAUCAUGCAACAUUACGUUUUCAUCGUUACUUUACCCUAAAAUGCAUGCAACAAUAUAUAUACACAUGCUUAAUGAAUGACACAUUAGGCAUAGAGAGAAGUUCAAUGAGUUUGAGAAGCACCACCCACCUCGUAGGCUUCCAAAGGUGCUCCGAUGAUUUUCUUGGGAUUUUUAGACCCUUCGUUCUUUACCUGCGGCAUAACGAAGCCAAAUUAGGCUUAUUUAGCCAUAGCUUUACAUACACUUUUCGUAAUGCUAUUCCGAGCUCACCAACGCGUCGGAAAUACCCCCAAUUAGGUUUCUAGAGGGUCAAUUUUAUUUAGAAAUCCCCAUGAGCAAAAGCCCCAAUUUGGUGCCCUAGCUCCAAUACAUAUAUCAAACAUAGGGUUUGAUCUCAUUGGGAAGCAAAAGUAGCUUCACUAUUCUCUAAAUAGUCCAUUAGAACCAUUCUUAGGCUUUCCAAAACCCUAGAUUAGAUUUCACCAUUAGAGGUGGGUUGAAGCUCACCUUGAGCUCAACCAUGGUUUUGAUCUCUAAAGAAGCAAAAAGAAAGCUUCAAACUACUAGAUAUUCCAUUAAAAUCAUUUCUAGGUUCAUUCAAACCCAUUUCUAGGGUUUUACUACAUUAGGGUUCAAAGCUUACCUUGUAAGCUUCCUUUUCUUGCACUAGAGAAGAAGGAGAUGAAGCCUCUUUGCUCCAAAAGCUUCUUCUUCACCUUCUUUGUCUUCUUUUCCUUUCUUUUCCUUUGCCUUUUUCUUCUCCUUCUUUGUCUUCUAGAGAAAGAAAGAGAGGAGAGAGUGUGAGAGGGUGAGAAUGAGAGAAAUGUCUCAUUUACCCCAAUACUAUACUCAAUGGGUUGUCAAAAUGCAGCUAAACCUCUCAACUUUUACUCUUUCACACAGCCUGGACUGGGCUGUUCGCGCAGGCGGGGACCGGUCUCUCCUUCAGGGACAGGGACCAGUUCCCAAAGGUCGUCCCAGCGCAGCCAGAGCUGCUGCGCGCAGUGCAAUCGGUCUCUCCUUGGGGGACCGGUCUCUCGGGGACCGGUCUCUCGGAUAGGGACCGGUUCCCGAGAGCUACUUUCUCAGGACUUAGCCGAUUUUUCGGCUGUCUCAUUUCAUACACGUUCGAGAACCGGUCUCUCCCACCAGGGACCGGUCCCCGAGAGCUGAAAAUCUGCAGUUUUGCAGAAUUUGAUUCCUUAGCUCUCGAAAACCUCCCGUAACUCACUUUUAAUCAUUUUAACACCUUCGGACUUUCCGAAGUGUACCAUCCUCGCACUUUGGUCAAUUUGACUAAAGUUCGACAUCUAUUUUUCGAAUUUUUGGUAUAUUACACGGAUAGUAUUUGGUACUAUUCUUGAUGUGUUUGGGGGUCGUUGAUUGUGUACCAACUUGUUACUCACAUUUUGUGAUGCGAGCGUAAAUCCUUAGUACCAAAAUUUGCAAACUGCAGGUUUUGGGGUACUAAGUACUGGUACCACAGUGGGGUAUCGGUACCCCGACGCGUGACCGAGAGGACUGCUCUCGGGUUUGAGCUGAGGGGUGUUGAGUACCGGUACAGAGUCGGCAGGUACCGGUCCUGCAUCGAGUUGAUACAUCUCUAUAUAAACCCCAACACCCACAUGUUGGGUCUUUUGAGCUGAGACCAAGGAGAAGGCUUGGUAAGCUUCCUUCUCUUUCUCUCUCUAGAUUUCUCCUCUUUGAUUUGUGGUUUCUUGAGGUUUGAUCUCCUCUUUCUUCUUCUUUUACAUGGGUGAUGGUUCUUGAACCUUGGAUAAGACUUGGACUUGAAGAUUAGAGCUUUGUUGAAGAAUUAUCUCCAACCCUAGCUUCAUCUUAGCUUGGUUUGGAGCUCUAAAGAAAGUUAGUAGUAAUUUUGCUCUCUUAAAUUGUGUUUUGGAAGGAUUUUUGGAAGUUAGACCUAAUUUUGGGAAACUAGGAUUUCAUUUUGGGUUUUCUCUUGCUAAAGCCUUUGGAGCUUAAUUGAUGGUUCCAAAACUUCAUUUUAAGUUGGAUUUGAAGCAUCCUAACCUCCAUUGGGAUUUUGGAAAAAUUUAUCACCAUUUAAGGUAUUUUCUACCUAUUUAUGGUGUGAUUUUUGAGGGAUUUCAUGGUGUGUUCGUUCGAAACUCCUAAUCCCCUUAGAAUUUUUGUUAGAGUGCUAGGAGGCUAGUGGACAACUUUGUUCGUACAAACGAAGGAGUUUGAGAAGUAUCCGGUGGGUUUUGACCUUACCGAAAUGGGUGAACUCAUCCUAUGUCAUUUCUUAUGCUUUAAAUGAAAAAUUAUGCAUAUUUAUGCUAGAUAGAGUAUAAAUAAAUUUUUGAAUGCUUAAGACAUACAUGUUACAUGUCAAGUUUUAUAUUCUCUAUAUAGUAGAGAGAGAGUUUGUAAUAUACCGAAACUUCGGUGGAUUGCACCGAACUUCAGUUAAAUUGAUCGAAGCGUUGUUAUGAAUGCUUCGGAAUGCUUGGUAUAGGGUGUUGAGAUCUUGGAGAGCAAGCUAGAAAAUUUUUAGCUGUUUUCGUGCUUGUAUUGCUCUCGGGGUCCGGACCCUGUGCAAGGUCCGGACCCCGUACCCGCAAAAUCGUGGGUUUUUUUAGCACAGUAAUUUGGAGAGGGGCUUAUGUGCAAUUAUUGCUGAGGAGUGCUAUUUGAAGGUUCUACACCCUUCCUCCUUUUCAUUUCUCAUUGGUGAACAAAGAGAAAAGCUUUCUUUUUCUCUCUCUAAGUUUCUCCUCUCUCUCUUUCUCUUCCUUUCUCUAGGGUUUUGUGAGAGGGUUUGGUGGAGAAGAAGAUAGCUUGGUGGUGAAGCAAUCUUUUGUGCAAGAGAUUUAAGAAGAAAAGCUUGAGCUCAAUGUGAGUUCUUGUGGUAUUAAGCUAGGGUUUUGGUUUAUCUCCUCUAGUUGUNUUUUACAUUCUCGAACAAAACAUAUUGAACUAAGAUAUCAUUUUUUAAGAGAACUGGUAGAAUCAAACGUUUUACAACUUGAAUACAUUUCAACUGAAAAUCAACUUGCAGAUAUUUUAACCAAACCUUUGGAUCAAAAACGUUUUCUGCAUUUGAGAAAGGCAAUUGGUAUGAACCCAUCAAUCUAGAUAUAUUCUAUUGAGCCACAGAUCAUGUGCAUGUUGCGUAGUUUGUUUCUUUUCUUGCAUGCUUUUCGGUGUUUAUGAUUUGAUUGAUUUCCUUGCUUGAAAUUGCCGUUUCGGAAAAUGAGUUGAUCUGUGAAUUUAAGUGUUUCAUAUUUAAGUUUUGAUUGAUCAAUGUCAGGGUUAUUCUCUUUUGACAUAUUCUUGAACGAUCAAAUCUUUGAAGUUCUAUUUAACAUAUUAAAUCAAAUUCAGCACCUCAUGCUUCGAACUUUGAAUAUUGCAAUUGUUUGUUUGAUUAUUAGUUUUGAAAUGAAUAAAUCUUUCUCUAUUUUUGAAAUUGCGGUAAUAUUUUUGACUUGAGGGUUGCACUAAUUUAGGGGGAGUCUUGCUGAUUUUAGCUAUGAAAAUAUAUGAAAUUCAAGAUGUGGAAAGAGUUACAUCCCCGCUGGGAGUGUGAAAACUACCACCACAUGGAGGAAAGAGCUACCACCCCGGUCGUCCGGUCAGUGUGUGCAGCUACCACAUGAUGAUGAAUAUAUCUCUAUGGGCUAAAAGCCAAUAAAGAAUGAAUCAAUAUGAGAUGUUGUGGAGAUGGUAAAAUUCUAUGUUUAAUACAUCUCCUAGGCGAUAUAAGGUGGGUUGUCAAAAGAUGCUCAAAGAGCCACUCUUAUCUCGAAUUAUGUGCAUAACUCAAGUUGAGAAUAUUCUUUUAAUUUCAUGAUUAUGAGUUUUAUUUAUUCAAUUUCUUAACAAAUAUGAUGAUAAAAUGAUACAAUUUAUUUAUAGAUCUUGCAUGAUGUGUGGAAUUUUAUUUGAUACUUAUCAAGAAUUUUAUUUGAUUUUCGGAUCAACAAUAUUUGCCAAAUUGAAUAUCUUUGAGAUUGUUUUUCAAAAUUUAUUUAUGAAAUUUUUUUGGAAAGUCUUUGAGGAUGGAAAUUGUGUAUUUUUGAUGUUGGAUAUGUUGAGAAUAUUAUAUAAAAUAUUUGAAAAUUCUGGACGAAAUUUCAUGUUUUAGGUUUUGGCUCUGGGACCGGUCCCAGACUUGGAGAGACCGGUCCCUCCGCCCGAACCGAUAUAAGGGCUUUUGCGGUUUCUUUCAUUUUACUUUACCAAUCUCGUUCAUACUUCUCCCCAGAGCUUCUAAUAUUCAUAGGGUGCUUUUGCUUCCAUUCUUCAUCAUUUUCUACUUGAUUUUGGUAUGAUUCUCGGAUUUUGUUUCAUUAUUGUCUUAUAAUCCGAAUUUGUGCUCUAUAUUUCAGUUUUUGGGAUUUGAUCUCAUUAUGUUGGUAAAUCUCUUCAUUUUUGUCCUGAUCUUACUGCUAGACAUGUUAAUUAACAUCUUCAUGCAUUCUUACGUAGUGUGAUUUAAUUGUUUGGUUGUUUUUGUUAUGUUUUAUUCAUCAAAACCUAAUUUUUCCCAUUUUUUGAAAACUGUGGUUUUAUUGGUUUUUGAUGCUUGAUCUGUCCAUGAUUUUCAUAGUUAUGUGGCUCUAGAAUUAUCUAGCAUAUUACAUAUCAAUUUGCUAAAGUGUUUGGGAUCACAAAAAUCUAGUGUUCUUAUGUUCAAUAUGUAUAUAUCAUUGUGUUUAACAGGGGUUUCUUCGAAAAUGUAUUCGUGGCUACUUGUUCUUGUAGUUCUGAUGGCUGGCGGUGGUCGUGGAAGUAAGCGACAGCGCUCAAAAGGUAAAAGGCCGAUUGAGUAUCAACCGGAGGAUGAAGAGAGCGAGUAUGCUCCUGGUGACGACUCUGAGGAGGAUGAGCCGGAUUGGGAAACUUUUAUUCCUGAGGUAUUAACUAAGGAUAAGGAUACUGUGAAAGGCAAAGGAAAAGGAAAAGCCGUGGAAAAAGGCAAAGGAAAGGCGACUGAGCGUCCCGGUCGUCGUAAGUCCGGGGGUGUUGAAAUUCGAGAACCGGGUUCUGAGCCACCACGUCACAGUCUACAGGAUGUUCCAUCUAAACGACGGUCAAUGUACUCGUCGAAACACUGCAUUGGUGAGCGGGAUGUUGGGGUGGCCAGUAUCAUUAGUUGUGUGCCGGGUUUUCAGGAUUUAUUUGAACAGGGAAAUCUUCAUCAGAUUUGUGAUUUCCCGGAGCAAACCGGUUAUUGCUUGGAGUUGAUCAGAGAAUUUUACAUGAGAGCAGGUCACCUCAGUGACUCCGACGGCGGUCCGUACGUGUUUAAGACUUCCGUACGUGGUGUUGAGUUAUCUAUCACUCCUGCGACAAUAGCUUCGGUGUUAGAGAUGGAAGCAAAGACUGACGGAGUGGAGUAUCUGCAGGCCGGGUUUGACUCACUUCGCGAUUGGAACCGUGUUGUGAACACUCUUUGCAUGCCGGGUACUGAAUCAAACGGUAUUAUGGUUAUGUCCAAAGAUUUCAAAAUGGAGUACAGGUUUCUGAACUUUGUGGUUUGCUACAACAUCAUGCCUCUCGCGAACACGAAAAUCUUGAGAUGGGAUCGGAUUCUGUACAUGUAUCUCUUGGGUAGGCCGGAUGUUGUAGGUGCCAAAAAUAUUAACAUGAAUAUUCCAUUUUUGAUCUGGCGGAGAAUGGCAAAGGAUAUCAAGACUUCCGGGCAAAAUGAGAGGUUACCUUUUCCAUUGAUAAUUAUGAGGAUUUUGCGACUUCGUGAGGUGGAUGUUCGGUGUACAUCAUACGAGCACAGUUUGGGUCGGAUUAAUGAAAGGACGUUUGUAAAGUCCUCGGUGCAACUUCGUACGCCGUCUCAACGUGCUUCUUCCCCUCCUGCAGCUCCACCUCUUGCUACUGCUACUUCUUCACGUCCUUCUAUGGACAUUUCUGAGGAAGAUAUUUCUGUUUCAUCGGUGUAUCGCGAGCAGCAACGUCUAUCUGAGGAGCUUCAGAAGUUGUCUGCAGAACAAGCUGCGAUUCGUAAGGAUGUGGGCAAGAUGAAGCGCUUGUUGAAUAUGAUUUUUGACAAAUUGGGAUGCUGUCGGUCAGAUUUACCUCCGGGAGAUGAUUCUGACUAGGAAUUUCCGGGCUUCUCUUUUUGUCGUUUUGGCGCUUUCUGACAAAAAGGGGGAGAUGAUGAUGAUGAUGAUGAUGCAUGUGAUGUUUUAGCUUUCCUUAGUUACUCUGUUUAGUUAUGCUUUAGGUGUAUGCCUUAGGUGUUUGACUUAGUGCUUUAGAUGUGACUAUGAACUAUGAAUUAUGAACUUUGACUUGAUAGUUUUGUUUGAUCUUGAUACUUGAAUCUUGAUUAUGCUUUGAGAAUGUUUUUGCAGGAAUAAUUCAAGACUUCAAGACUCCAUGUCUAAGUUAUAGAGUUUGUAUUAAGGGUGUAAAAGUGUAAUUCAUUUUUUUUGGAUUGAUCAUGCAGGAGAUUAUCGUUUGGUGAUUGCGAUGAUCUUCUUUUUAUGACUUAUUGGUUGUAUACGAACUUUGUGGUAUAUUUUGUCACGAAAUCGCCAAAGGGGGAGAUUGUUAAGGAUUUUAUAGGUUGGCGAAUUUCGUAUUGUGGUUUGGAGUCUUGAAGAGUUGAUCAUAGAGGUUUUUGAGAAGAACUUCACAUUGGAGAACGGAGACUCAUUCAGAAAGCUCGACACCUAAGGUAUGAAGAAAAGAUCAUUUGUGGUGAUGGUAUAUAAUUAGAAUAAGUUCAGAAGGCUUAGAUUGCUUUAAAACAACUUUUCUGAACUUUCAAGUGUUCUGAGACCGGUCUCUGAGAUGGAGAGACCGGUUCCACUAAGGUCCUCACUGCGUAAACCGUGAUGCAACCGGUCCCCUGUGAUGAGAGACCGGUUCCCGAACCAUGGUGCUUCUGUCGCGCAGCGAGGGACCGGUCUCAAGUUUGAGAGACCGGUUCCCGAACGUUGGGUUUUUGGUUACGCAGAGAGGGACCGGUUCCUCACUUGAGAGACCGGUCUCUCACAGACCGGUCUCCUCGAGAGGACCGGUCUCUGAGGACGACACAGGUUUUUAAAAACGACUUUUUGCAAUCCUAGUCUACUUCUAAGUCUUCUAAACAUAUAAAUAAGCUAUGAGGGUCAUCUAAAAUUAAGGCUUUGAAUAUUUUAUCAAUUCUAAACCCUAGAAACUCAAUUCUCUCCGUUUCAAUGCUUAGAUGAGUUUCUAGCAAUCGACAUCGGCUUGAUUCUUCGUUGUUACUCAAUAUUUCUUACGAGAAUCAAGUAGAUGUUUGAUAAAAGGUGAACUCCCAUAGCUUAUGGUUUUGAAAAGUUAAAUCACCAUAAAUCUUCGAUUCUACAAGCUCCGGAAGGAGGUUCGGCGCAUGGAUUUCGUGUGAAGCCGAGGAUUCGGUGGACGCUUCGAGGAGUUGAGGCGUUGACGCUGCAAGGAGUUGCAGCAAGGUCGAUUGGAGGAUUCCUAUCGAUCGAGGACCGGCAAAGAUCACCAUCAACGAGAAAUCGGUAAAUUGAGUCGUGUGUUUUUGUCAAAAUCACUUGUACUCGAGUUUUCUUAGUGGAUUUUCUUUGCGUGAUCGGUCCCGUGGGUUUUUCACUCCGAAUUGGAGUUUUCCCACGUUAUAUUCUCGGUGUGCUUUUUUAAUUUCCGCUAUUUCGUCUUGUUUGUAUCGAGAUUUUUCGAGUUUGCCGGAUUUACACCUAUUCACCCCCCUCUAGGUGUUACUUACCUUUUAGAUCCUCGGGAUCCAUAUCUUACAUACUCAACUCACCCUACCCAGCCCAUUCAGCCCGAUUACAAACAAAAAAGGAAAAAAAAUUGAUCACCAUCUCCCAUUCUUCUCUUACUCAAUCCACUGAAAUCCUAGACGAAGAGCCCUUCACUCCUCUCCUUCUUCGCCACCACAGCCAACGAGGUAGAGCUUCGGCGGGUGCUAAAUGCUUAAAUAAGUGUUGGUAAAUUAGCAGCACUUUUUUUAGGUUAUAUCGACACUCUUAAACUGUCACUAUACACCGAGCGACCCCACAUAUAGCAACACUUUUUAAAAGUGUCGAUAAUUUAGUCAACAAUACUUUUUGUGACCUAUACCGACAUUUAAAAGUGUAGUUAUACACCGUUUUUGUGGUAGUGACUUGAUACCGUUGAUCAUACUUACUUGCCAUUAUGCUCAUUCGCACAAGCUUGUGAAGGUCACUCCCUACAAGCCGGCACUCCGGAGUUAGCCUACGCGACAUAUUAUAAGGAAGUGAAUUCUCGAAAAGCGAGAGUUGGACUUCAAUUAGAAUCGACUAAUUGUCGGUUGGGUACGCUUCGGAAAGGUCGAAAGCGUCGAAAGCACCAAAAGUGCAUUGAGGAGGGUCUCGGAGAGCAAGGUAGUGUAAACUGCAAGUUGCAGAUUUUGUGCUCUCGGGGACCGGUCCCUCAGUAAGGGACCGGACCCCGUACGUGCGGAAAUGGGUAGACUGGUGUCUGCACAAAAAUUGUGCUCUCGGGGACCGGUCCUUCAGUAAGGGACCGGACCCCGUACGUGUAGGGGCUGGCAGAGGGAAUUCUGCUCGAAAUCUUGCUCUCGGGGACCGGUCCCUUCGUAGGGAGACCGGUCCCCAUACCCGAAAUAUGCCCAGGCUGGGCAGGGCAAGAGAUGUGAAGUUGAGGGGCUUAUUGGCAAUUAUUGCAUGAGAAGGGUUAAAUGGGGGAUUUCCCCUCUCUCCUCUCCCACUCUCCCUCAUAACAUACUCUCUCUCUCUAGGAACUCUCCCUCUCUCUCUAGAAGUGGAGCAAAGAGGAGGGAUUGGAGGAGAAGAAGACCAAGGAGAGGAUUUCCACCAUCUUCAUCUUCUUCCUCACCCUUGGAGUAGCUUCUUGAGGUAAGCUUCUUGGAGCUUUCAUGGUAAAUCCUUAGGGCUUCGUCUAUAUGCUCUAGAAUUGGAUUUGUUGGACCCCUUUGAUGCUAGAUAGUGGUUUAUUGCUAGAAUCCAAAGCUCUAAUGGUGUAUUCUUGCAAUAGUACUAACCUAGGGCUCCAAAUAGGGUUGUUGGAAAUAGAGGAGUUUGAUCUCAAUUGAACAUGUAUAAACCUAAUUGCUAGGCUUUCCGACACGUUGGCGAAGUCGAUUCGGUGAUUCGUCGAGCCGGUGCGAAGAUGUUGCCGAAAAGGACCUUCGUGGCUUCGUUUCUGCCUAGACGGCCGAGGCGGCACUUUAAAAUCGCGAAGUCGGCGUCGUAGCUUUGUAACGUCGUUAAAAGGUGGGUGGUGUCAUCCCGAAGCAGUUCAGCUGCUCCCUAUGUCUAAGUAAAUAUGUAUUGAUCAUGCUUCACAUGUGAACCUUGUGCAUUAUAGGGUGUCUAAUGGUUACAUUUACUAUUCUUGCAUGCUCCUUUGUAGUGUAGCAUAGGAGGCUUGACACUUGAGCUUAGAGUGCAUGAGAAUGAGCUAUUGUGAUAUAGAGCCCUAUGGUGAUAAAGAUAAGUGACAACUUGAUCUUGUAUUGAUGAAAAUAAUGACAUGUGAAUUAGUGUACUCAAGACUCCGUAUCAUGAUGAGUGGCAUGUAAACCAAGUGAACAACUUGAUGAGUGGCAUUAGAAUUUAGUGUAAAAGGACACUUAUGAUAUGAUGACUUAGGGAUUAGAUGAGUUUCCCUAGCUUGACACAUUGCAUAAGAUUGGUGUGGCAUUGAUGACCAUAGUGACAGGGUAUCCUCAGUUGACGAGGAUUGGAUUAUACUCGCAUAAUCUGUUUUUGUCUUGGUCACUCCACUCGUUAGUGCACUCCGGAGGUGGUCACGUAGAGGACAGACGUAGUUGUCCGCAGACGGUCCUGGGUGGGUUGACAAGGUCCUCACCUAGGGGAUUUGAGAUGCGAGUCGAGGGCGAAACUUCGGGUUAGCCAAGGAUUGGAUGUUGGACUCAUGAGAGUUAUGAACAUUGGGCAUAUUGAGCAUAGUAGAAUUGCAUUCAUGCUUGAUAGAGAUGUAGUAGCAUGUUAGUAGAUACAUGGUUACAUUUGUUUAUUCUUGUAUCUCUAGGCAUAGUAGUAUCUUGCAAUUCCUUUAUUAUGUAUCAGUUUCAGCUUCAGUUAUCUAUCUAUCUACCUAUCUGCUUAUGCCUGCUUAGACCCAGUAGGGAAAUCGGCGGAGUCGGCGGCCGAACCCACUGGGAACUAUGGACAAUAGUUCUCACCCCACUUUGUUGCAGGGCCGAGUUCGAGUGCUCCCGGUGAGGACCGCGGUAAGGGCAUAGCGCCCUAGUCUAGUUAGCAACCUCCAUUUGUAUUAGUGUACCUAUGUACUUGUUAGACGUGGAUGUAUCUAUUUGAGAGUUGUAUGUAUUUUGAGUUUAUACCAGAUGUGAUAUGAACAUGGAUGUAUAUAUUCAUUUUGGGACAUGUAAAUGUAAACUUGAUGUAAAUAAUGAUGGAUAAUUGAAUGUAAUAGCUAGAAUAUCUCCCUUUUUUCACUUGUAUAUUACUAGUGACUCUUGCUCUUAUUUGUUAGCACUUGUGGUGCUUCUCGUUGAUCAUGUAUGUUGUUUGAGUUCUUCUUGGGCAACUCUUGUACAUGACUGUUGAUGCUUUGCCUUGGGCGGAUAGGGGAGGUGCUGUCCAUUCGGCGUCUGUUCGACAUGCCCUAACCGGCCAAACUAGCGGUCUCGGGGCGUCACAGAUUAAAGUGGUAUCAGAGCGAGCUAAGAGCAAGUAAAGAGAGAGUCUAGGAUGGACCUAGGAGACCCUAGGAUGGUAAACCUUAGGGUUAUAGGUGCGUGAGUGGAACGUGAACUUGUAACGGUGGCGGAAGUUGAUCGGUUAGGUCGAAGUGGAUGUUAUGUCUCUAGUAGUGGCUAGAGGUAGAUUCAAGUGGUAUUAAUUCUUGGCUCGAGGUGGUUGUGUUGGCGGCCGACAACAUGACGCCGAGAGUCUAGAAUGAGUACACUUGUGUGCUUCCGCCUGAUUUCGAUGUUGAGUCGUGUUGCUUAGUAAUCGCGAUGACGUUAAUGGGUUAAGGUAGUUAACCGUGUUUUUGCGUUUCAGGAGCUAAUGGCACCGAAGAGAGGCUACACGCGUAGGUCCGUUCCGGCACCCCCUCCCGAGGUGCCAGAGUCAGCUGGGUCUAGCGAGGUGCAGGAGUUACGGGCGCAAAUGACCGCGUUGGCCGGUCGGUUCGAGCGGCUCCAAGAACUAAUGGAGCGGUAGGUGGCGGCGACGGCCGCGACGGCGACUGAAGGCGGUGGUCCACUCUUGCCCUCAGCUUGUGCGCCCAAUGUGGCUGAGGGUGAGGGCAUCGCAGCGGCUCUGGUGGCAGCAUGUUCCCCGCCGGCGAGUGUUCCUCCAGUUGCUUCGGGUUCUGCUACACUCGAUGUGGCGGCUGAGGAGGCGGAGCGAGAGCGUGGUUACACGGCUCUCACGAGGUUGAUGAAGUUCCACCCUCCGACAUUUGACGGUGAAGUUGUUGAUCCUUGGACGGUGGAGACAUGGUUGGCCGCAAUGGAAACCUUGUUCGAGAACAUCUAUACGUUGGAGCAAGAUAAGGUGCACUUGGCCGCGCAUUGCUUCGACAAACGAGCCCGAGUGUGGUGGAGGAGGGUGAAGCAGGAUCGAUCUUCGGAGCUUCCCCCGAACGAUUAGGAGGAGUUUCGGAGGUUGAUGUUCGUAGAGUACUUUCUCGACAGUGAUAAGAGAAAAAUAUGGGAAGACUUCAGGAAGCUCAAGCAAGGCAAUCGCAUGUUUCGGGAGUAUGAGCGGGAGUUCACACAUCUCCUAAAUUGCGUCCCGGACGUGGCGAGGACCGAGCAGGAAAGGGCGGAGUGCUUCGUGCGGGGACUUCGGCCCGGAGUGUUCUGAUUGGUGCAUGCCUUUAAGUUCCGCACCUUUAUGGAAGUGUUGGAUCGUGCCUUGUGGGUCGAGCACGGGAACGCUUGUGAGCGAGAAGAGCGCGAGGCGUUCGAGAGAGACAAGAGGAAGAAGCAACAGAGUGGUGGCUCGAGGGGACAGUCAAGUUCCAAGAAACCUCCGAAGCACCCCCGAACGCAGUCGUGGAGUCGUGGGCCGCAGCGGUGCAAUAUUUGUGGUGGAGGCCACCGAGUAUCGCAGUGCAGGCAGCGUCAAGGAAAGUGCUACACUUGUUGACAAGAAGGGCAAAUAAGUCGCGACUGUCCAGUGAGGGCCCCGCCUACCCCGUCUGUUCCGUCGGCUCCAGUGACUCCGGCUUAUUAUGGAGGAGCUCCACCUACUGCCGUAUGAGCGGGACGCGUGAUGGCACCGCAUCAGCCGGAAGUAACUCGAUUGGCUCCGAGCGGACGGGUGUUUGCCGCUCAAGUCGAGGAUCCUGCCGAGGCCGAGGAGCGCAAUAUUGUGAUAGGUAUGGUUUUAAUUAACGGAGUUCGCUCCAGAGCUAUGUUUGAUACAGAUGCCACACAUUCAUUCAUUAGUAGGCCGUUUGCACAAAUGCAUGACAUAAACAUCCAAUAUAGUAAAAGCACUUGGCGAGUAGCAGGCCCUGGACGUGAUUUUCUUAUUAGGAAGGAGUGCUCGGUGUGUCCAGUUCAAGUUGGCAACUGGAUAAUGCCAAUCCGCAUGCUUGUGCUCAAGAAGCUGAAGGAGUAUGAUGUUAUAUUGGGCAUGGACUGGCUCUCGAAAUAUUAUGUGUCUAUCGAUUGCAAGAGCAAGGUGAUCACAUUCCGUGAGCCGGGAUAGGAGGAGUUCACCUACCGAGCGUGCAAGAGCUCGUGCUUCACCGCGACAGUGUCGGCGACGAGGGCAAGAAAGUUGGUCAACAGCGGUUGCGUGGCUUACUUGGCGACCAUCAUAGAGGUUGAACGAGUGGCUCCAACACUUGAAGAGCUAUCAGUGGUAUGGGAGUUCCCGGAUGUAUUUCCGGCAGAGUUACCAGGAAUACCGCCGGACUGGGAGAUCGAGUUCGUGAUAGACUUGAUUCCCGGGACCGCGCCGAUCUCUAAGGCUCCGUAUUGGAUGGCGCCGGCGGAAUUGAAGAAAUUGACGACUUAUUUGAUUAGCUACAGGGGUCGCGAGUGUACUCAAAGAUAGACCUCCAGUCUGGCUACCAUCAGCUAAAGAUUAAGACGGAGGAUGUAUAGAAGACCGCGUUCCGCGCGCGGUAUGGGCAUUACGAAUUCACGGUUAUGCCAUGCGGGCUCACAAACGUCCCAGCAGCAUUCAUGGACCUGAUGAACCGUGUAUUCAGAGCGUACUUGGACCAAUUCAUCGUGGUCUUUAUAGGUGACAUUUUGGUCUACUCGCGUAGCGACGAGGAGCACGCCGAGCAUUUGCGGAUAGUACUUCAAAUCCUUCGGGAGGAAAAGCUAUACGCAAAGCUGAAGAAAUGCGACUUUUGGCUUCGAGAGGUCGCGUUUCUCGGGCAUGUCGUUUCUGAGGGAGGAGUGUCUGUUGACCCAAGGAAAGUCGAGGCGAUCAAGAAUUGGCUGCGCCCGACGAACGUCACGGAAGUCCGAAGCUUUGUGGGCUUAGCGGGCUACUAUAGACGAUUUGUGGAGGGAUUCUCAAAGAUUGUUAUUCCACUUACUCAUCUAACGCCGAAAGGCACCAAGUUCGUGUGGAGCGACGAGUUCGACCGGAGUUUUAGAGAGUUGAAGGAGAAGUUGACUUCAACUCUAGUGCUCGCCUUACUGGUGCAGGGCGAAGACUUCGUGGUGUAUAGCGACGCGUCCGAUUUGGGUUUGGGGUGUGUUCUAAUGCAAGGUGGAAAAGUGAUCGCAUAUGCGUCUCAUCAGUUGAAGAGCUACGAGAAGAACUACCCUAUCCAUGACUUAGAAUUAGCCGCAGUAGUAUUUGCUCUCAAGUUGUGGAGGCAUUACUUAUACGGCCCGCGUUGCGAGGUAUAUACUGACCACAAAGUCUAAAGCAUCUUUUUAUCCAAAAAGAACUUAAUAUGCGGCAACGGCAGUGGUUGGAGUUGUUAAAGGAUUACGAUGUCACGAUCCUCUACCACCUCGGGAAGGCGAAUGUAGUCGUGGAUGCACUCAGCAGAAAGUCGGUGGAGAACCUCGCGUUGAGCAUCACACAUUAGCGGCCUCUAUGUAAAGAGAUGAGUCGAAUGAAUCUUGAGGUAGUGGCUCCAGAGGUUCCGACCAUGUUGUUGGCUCUCGUUGUCCAACCGACCUUGUUGGAGAAAAUUAGAAGUCUGCAACCUGCGGACCCGACUCUCCAAAAGGUGCGGCACGACAUCAAGAGUGGACACGGCGGCGAUUUCAGUGUGGACGCCGAGGGUGCGCUCCGGUUUCGAAACCGGUGGUGCGUACCAGAGAAUGAUGAGGUUCGGAAGUUGAUUCUGAAGGAAGUGCAUUGGACUCCUUAUAGUGUCCAUCCGGGCGGCACCAAGAUGUACCAUGAUUUAAAGAUGCAAUAUUGGUGGCCGAAAAUGAAAGCGGAUAUUGGACGCUACGUGGCGUAGUGUCUAGUUUGCCAACAGGUAAAGGCGGAGCGCCAAUUUCCAGCGGAAAAGCUUCAAAGCCUACCUAUUCCCGUUUGGAAAUGGGAGGGCGUGUCGAUGGAUUUCGUGGUCGGCUUGCCUCGCUCGACUGGCGGCCACGAUGCGAUCUAGGUGAUUGUGGAUCGUUUGACGAAGUCGGCUCACUUUUUGCCGAUCCACACCACUUGGGCAGGUGAUAGGUUGGCGCAGGUAUAUCUUGAUGAGAUAGUGAGGUUGCACGGGGUGCCAAAGUCAAUAGUAUCGGAUCGAGACCCCCAGUUUACUUCACACUUUUGGAAGAACCUGCAGGAAGCUUUGGGCACACGGCUCGAUUUCAGCAUUGCAUUUCAUCCUCAGACAGAUGGGCAAUCAGAGAGGACCAUUCAGAUUCUGGAGGAUAUGCUGCGAGCGUGUGUCAUUGAUUAUAAGGGCAGUUGGGCAAAUCACCUACCGAUAGCCGAGUUUGCUUACAACAAUAGUUAUCAAGCUAGCUUGGGGAUGGCACCAUUUGAAGUCCUUUACGGGCGAAAAUGUCGAUCCCCUAUAUACUAGAGUGAUAUGGGCGAACGUGCGGUAUUGGGCCUCGACGUUUUGCGGGAGGCGGAAGAGAAGGUCCGUCUCGCCCGCCAGAGGUUGCUCACGGCUCAGUCUCGAUAAAGAAGCUAUUCGGAUAAACGCCGUAGAGAUUUAGAGUUCGCGGUAGGAGACCGCGUGUUCUUGAAGGUUUCACCUAUGAGAAGUGUGAAGCAUUUUGAGGUUUGGGGAAAAUUAAGUCCCUGGUAUAUUGGGCCGUAUGAGGUAUUAGAGCGUGUUGGAGCGGUAGCUUACCGACUUGCAUUGCCGCCGAAGCUCGCGGAUGUUCACAGCGUAUUCCACAUCUCCAACCUUCGCAAAUAUAUCCAUGACCCCGACCACGCAUUGUUGUAUGAGCCUCCGGAACUUCAAGAAGCUAUGAGCUAUGAAGAGUUCCCAGUGUCGAUCAUCGCUCGAGAAGUGCGUAAGUUGCGGAAUCGUGAAAUCCCCUAUGUUAAGGUACGGUGGAGCAUUCACGACGAUCGCAAAGCCACCUGGGAGCUUGAGGAUUUAAUGAAGGAGCAUCACCCUCAUCUUUUUGAGGUGUGAGUAAGGUAUGAGUUAAGUUUGAGUUUUAGUUGAGGUUUGAGUUCGUUUCGAGAAUGAAACUCUUUUAAAGGUGGGGAGGAUGUAAGAAAGUGAAUUCUCGGAAAGCAAGAGUUGGACUUCAAUUAGAAUCGACUAAUUGUCGGUUGGGUACACUUCGGAAAGGCCGAAGGCAUCGAAAGUAUCAAAAGUGCAUUGAGGAGGGUCUCGGAGAGCAAGGUAGUGAAACUGCAAGUUGCAGAUUAUGUGCUCUCGGGGACCGGUCCCUCAGUAAGGGACCGGACCCGGUACGUGUGGAAAUGGGUAGACUGAUGUCUCCGCAAAAAUUGUGCUCUCGGGGAUCGGUCCCUCAGUAAGGGACCGGACCCCGUACGCGUAGGGGCUGGCAGAGGGAAUUCUGCCCGAAAUCUUGCUCUCGGGGACCGGUCCCUCCAUAGGGAGACCGGUCCCCGUACCCGAAAUAUGCCCAGGCUGGGCAGGGCAAGAGAUGUGAAGUUGAGGGGCUUAUUGGCAAUUGUUGCAUGAGAAGGGUUAAAUAGGGGAUUUCCCCACUCUUCUCUCCCACUCUCACUCAUAACAUAUUCUCUCCCUCUCUCUCUAGGAACUUUCCCUCUCUCUCUAGAAGUGGAGCAAGGAGGAGGGAUUGGAGGAGAAGAAGACCAAGGAUAGGAUUUCCACCAUCUUCAUCUUCUUCCUCACCCUUGGAGAAGCUUCUUGAGGUAAGCUUCUUGGAGCUUUCAUGGUAAAUCCUUAGGGCUUCGUCUAUAUGCUCUAGGAUUGGAUUUGUUGGACCCCUUUGAUGCUAGAUAGUGGUAUAGUGGUUUAUUGCUAGAAUCCAAAGCUCUAAUGGUGUAUUCUUGCAAUAGUACUAACCUAGGGCUCCAAAUGGGGUUUUUUUUCGAAAUAGAGUUUGAUCUCAAUUGAACAUGUAUAAACCUAAUUGCUAGGCUUUCCGACAUGUUGGCGAAGUCGAUUUGGCGAUUCGUCGAGCCGGUGCGAAGAUAUUGCCGAAAAGGACCCUCGUGGCUUCGUUUCGGCCUAGAGGGCCGAGACGGCGCUCUAAAAUCGCGAAGUCGGUGUCAUAGCUUUGUAACGUCGUUAAAAGGUGGGUGGUAUCAUCCCGAAACAGUUGAGCUGCUCCCUAUGUCUAAGUAAAUAUGUAUUGAUCAUGCUUCACAUGUGAACCUUGUGCAUUAUAGGGUGUCUAAUGGUUAUAUUUACUAUUCUUGCAUGCUCCUUUGUAGUGUAGCAUAGGAGGCUUGACACUUGAGCUUAGGGUGCAUGAGAAUGAGCUAUUGUGAUAUAGAGCCCUAUGGUGAUAAAGAUAAGUGACAACUUGAUCUUGUAUUGAUGAAAACAAUGACAUGCGAACUAGUGUACUCAAGACUCCGUAUCAUGACGAGUGGCAUGUAAACCAAGUGAACAACUUGGUGAGUGGCAUUAUAAUUUAGUGUAAAAGGACACUUAUGAUAUGAUGACUUAGGGAUUAGAUCAGUUUCCCUAGCUUGACACAUUGCAUGAGAUUGGUGUAGCAUUGAUGACCCUAGUGACAGGGUAUCCUCAGUUGACGAGGAUUGGAUUAUACUCGCAUAGUCUGUUUUUGGGUUGGUCGCUCCACCCAUUAGUGCACUCCGGAGGUGGUCACGUAGAGGACAGACGUAGUUGUCCGCAGACGGCCCUGGGUGGGUUGACAAGGUCCUCACCUAGGGGAUUUCAGAUGCGAGUCGAGGGCGAACCUUCGGGUUAGCCAAGGAUUGGAUGUUGGACUCAUGAGAGUUAUAAACAUUGGGCAUAUUGAGCAUAGUAGAAUUGCAUUCAUGCUUGAUAGAGAUGUAGUAGCAUGUUAGUAGAUACAUGGUUACAUUGUUUAUUCUUGUAUCUCCAGGCAUAAUAGUAUCUUGCAAUUCCUUUAUUAUGCAUCAGUUUCAGCUUCAGAUAUCUAUCUAUCUACCUAUCUGCUUAUACCUGCUUAGACCUAGUGGGGAGAUCGGCGAAGUCGGCGGCCGAACCCACUGAGAACUAUGGAUAAUAGUUCUCACCCCACUUUGUUGCAGGGCCGAGUUCGAGUGCUCCCGGCGAGGACCGCGGUAAGGGCAUAGUGCCCUAGUCUAGUUAGAAGCCUCCAUUUGUAUUAGUCUACCUAUGUACUUGUGAGACGUAGAUGUAUCUAUUGGAGAGUUGCAUGUAUUUUGGGUUUAUACUAGAUGUGAUAUGAACAUGGAUGUAUAUAUUCAUUUUGGGACAUAUAAAUGUAAACUUGAUGUAAAUAAUGAUGGAUAAUUGAAUGUAAUAGCUAGAAUAUCUCUCUUUAUUUACUUGUAUAUUACUAGUGACUCUUGCUUUUAUUUGUUAGCACUUGUGGUGCUUCUCGUUGAUCAUGUAUGUUGUUUGAGUUCUUCCUGGGUAACUCUUGUACAUGAUUGUUGAUGCUUUGCCUUGGCCAGACAGGGGAGGUGCUGUCCGUUCGGCGUCUGUUCGACGUGCCCGAACCAGCCAAACUGGCGGUCUCGGGGCAUGACAAAUUAAAGUGGUAUCAGAGCAUGCUAAGAGUAAGUAAAGAGAGAGUCUAGGAUGGACCUAGGAGACCCUAGGAUGGUAAACCUUAGGGUUAUAGGUGCGUGAGUGGAACGUGAACUUAGUGCCCUUCUGUGUAAUCUUUCUUUCAACUCUUUGAAACAUCGGUCACACUCGUCACCCCACACAAACUUAGUGCCGUGCUGUGUAAGACGGGUAAGUGGAACAACAAUUUUCGAGAAACCCUCCACAAACCGCCUAUAAUAGCUCGCCAAGCCGACAAAACUGCAGACCUCCGACACAUUCGUCGGACGAGGCCAAUCCUUGAUCGCCUCCACUUUCCUCGGGUCAACAGAUACACCACCCUCGAAAAUCACGUCCCAAGAAGGCAACUUCACGGAGCCAAAAGUCGUACUUCUUCAACUUUACAUAAAGCUUUUCCUCCCGAAGGGCUUGUAGCACAAUCCUCAAAUGUUCCUCGUGCUCCUCGUCGCUACGAGAAUAGACCAAUAUGUCGUCUAGAAAUAUCACGACAAAUCGAUCCAAGAAAGCCCUGAAAACACAGUUCAUCAGAUCUAUGAAAGCUGCCGGUGCAUUGGUAAGCCCAAACGGCAUAACCGUAAAUUCGUAGUGUCCAUACCGCGUCAGAAACGCGGUCUUGUGAACAUCUUCCGACUUAAUCUUCAACUGAUGGUAGCCCGACUGAAGAUCUAUCUUCGAAUACACCCGAGACACUUGCAACUGAUCAAACAAGUUGUCGAUACGGGGCAACAGGUACUUACUUUUAAUCGUGACUUUAUUAAGCUCACGAUAAUCAACAUAAAGACGGAAUGAUCCGUCCUUUUUCUUCACAAACAGCACCAGGGCUCCCCAAGGUGAUAUACUCAGCUUAAUAAACCCCUUGUCAAGCAGAUCUUGCAACUGAGCCCUCAACUCCUUUAAUUCGGUCGGUGCCAUUCGAUAAGGAGCUUUCGAAAUCGGCGCAGUUCCGGGAACCAAGUCUAUUACGAACACGAUUUUCCGAUUCGGUGGUAUCCCCGGUAACUCCGCGGGAAAUACAUUCGGAAACUCCCGAACCACAGAAACGUCCUCAAGCGCCGAAGCUUCUCUACAAACCUCCACUACGAUUGCCAAAUAAGCCGCGCAAAUGGCGCUAACUAGCUUCCUUGCCCUCGACGCCGACACCGUCAUGGCGAAGAGUGAACUCUUGCAAGCAUGAUAGGUGAACUCUUCUUGUCCAGUCUCACGAAAAGUUAUAACCCUACUCUUGCAGUCGAUAGACGCAUAGUACUUCGAGAGCCAAUCCAUGCCCAAUAUUAAAUCGAAGUCCUUCAACCGCUUAAGCACGAGCAAUCGCGUCGGCAUAAUCCAGUCGCCUACUUGUACUGGACACGCCAAAGUCCAAACACUCCUUUCUAAUGAUAAAUGAACGCUCAGGGGCUUCAACCCGCCAAGUGCUUUUACUCAAUUGGACCUCAAUGCCAUGCAUUUCCGUGAAAGAUCGGCUAAUGAAUGAAUGAGUUGCACCUGUAUCAAAUAAAGCGCUAGUUAGCUCUAACUCCACUUAUUAACACCAUACCUGCCACAAUGUCGCGGUCGACGACCUCAGCAGGUUCCUCCGCUUGAGCCACAAACACCUGGCCACUAGGAGUCGGUCGGGGCGCCUCCGAUUGAUGUGGUUCCAUCGCACGUCGAGCAGACAUCGCAGCUGGCGGAGCUCCACCAAACUGUCUCUGAGUCAUCGGAGUCGACGCAACAGACGGGGCAGGCGACGAUCUUUCCGGGCACUGACGGCUAAUAUGUCCCACCUUUCCACAUCUGAAGCACCGACCCUCCCGAUGCUCGCAAUUUAUUAGGCGAUGCUCCCCGCCACAGAUCACACGCCGAGUUGGUCCAUGGCCUUUCGACUGCGCCUGCUGAUACCUUGGGGGCUUCUUGGAACUAGACAGUCCCCCCGAACCACCCAUGGGCUGCUUCUUUCCUUUGUCCUUCUCAAACACUUCGCACUCCUCCCGCGCGCAAGCAUUUCCAUGCUCUACCCAAAGAGCACGAUCCAGCACCUUCGCAAAGGUCCGAAACUUGAAGGCAUGCACCAUCUUAAAUAUCUCGAGCUAGAGUCCCCGCACAAAGCACUCUGCCUUGUCUUGUUCACUUCGCGCCACAUCCGGGGCGCAAUUCACAAGAUGCGUGAACUCCCGCUCGUGUUCCCUCACGGUGCGACCGCCUUGCCUCAGCUUUCGAAAGUUUUUCCGCAUCUUUCUUUUAUUACUAUCGGGAAAGUAUUCGGUGAACAUCAACCUCCGGAACUCCUCCCAAUCGAUCGAGGGAAGAUCCGGGGAUCGAUCCUUCUUCACUCUCCUCCGCCACACUCGAGCCGACUUCUCGAAGCAAUGCGCGGCCAAGUGCACUUUAUCCUGCUCCAAGGUGUAGAUGUCCUCGAACGGGGUCUCCACGACUCCACGACCCAAGGAUCUAUCACCUCCCCAUCAAAAGUCCUCCCCAUCAAAGGUCGGAGGAUGAAACUUCAAAAAUGUCGUGAGAGUCGCAAGCUCACGCUCCCUCUUAGCCUUCUUAGCCACCGCAUCAAGAACCGAAGAGCUCGAAGCCGUCAGAGGAAUACAUGCCGGUGGGGGACGUGCGGCCACCGGAGCCGCAGCCAUGUCCACACCCUCAGCCGCAUUAGGGGCGCGAGCCAAGGGCGCGGGCGGAUCACGUCCUUUGGGUGCCGCCGCCGCCGCCGCCACUUGCCGCUCCAUCAACUCCUAGAGCCGCUCGAACCGAUCCUCUUGGCGCUGCACCGCACCAACUAGUGUAGUCACUUGCACCCAUAGCUCCUGCACUUCAUCAGAUCCAGAAUGCUUGGGCACCUCAGAAGGUGGUGCCGGAGUGGAUCUCGUCGCGGGGCAUGUCAUUGGUGCUAUUAACUCCUAAAACGCAACAAUUUGGUUAAUCACCUUAACCCACGAACUCUACGCAAUUUAAGGACUAAACAAUCCAACACCAAAUCAGGUGGAAGCACACAAGUAUACUAAUUCCCAAUCCUUAGCGUUAUGUUGUCGGCCGCCAACACAACUUCCUCAAAUUGAGAACAAGUAUUACUUGAAUCCAUCUUUAACAACCACUAGAGACAUACUAACAAUUACAAUCAUGUACAUCUAGUUGCCCAGGUAAACAUAACAACAUACAUGAACCAUGCGAGUACCAUACACGCAAGAGCAAGAGAGAACUAGCUAUUACAUAGACAUUCAUCCAUUUUUACAUGUUUCCACCAACAUACAUACAUUGGUUUACAAAUUCAUCUCAUGAUAUAUGUACAUCCAUAAGCAACCUCACCCAAAAUACAACAAUUCUCCCAAAAGGGUACAUAAACUCUAAUGCAUAGGAGGUCGCUAUCUAGGGCGCUAUGCCCUUACAGCAGUCCUCGACCGGUCCGCUCGUGCUAGGCCCUGCAACAAAGUGGGAUGAGAACUAAUAAUAAUUUUCAGCGGGUUCGGCUACCGACGCCGCUGAUUUUUCCACUAAGUCUAAGUAGGCAUAAGUAGAAGGGUUAGCAAUAUAUACAAACAUCUAGUAUGCUACUAUGCCUUGGCAAUAUGAAGUAAUAAACUGGUGUGGUAAACAUGUAAUAGCAACUACUAUGCUCAUGAUGCAUGCCAUUUCCAUUUCAUAACCCAAUCAUUCCGGCUAACCCGAAGGUUGAGCCCCGACUCACAAGCGAAUCCCGCAACAUGAGGAGACGUCCGCUACACUCACCCGGGACCGUUUGCUGGGUAGCUACGUUAACCCCUACCGUGAAGUACUCCGGAGACCACUGCUUGGGUGGAGCGACCACCGCCAAGCAAAACAGACGUAUGUGAGCAUAAUCCAUUCCUCUAUCCCAAGGAUACCCUACCAUCUAGUGGUAACCAAGCCAGGGAAGACACCAAUCCCAAUUCUCAUAUCAUGAGUGUUCACAGUUUUCUAUCCAAAUGCCACCUUGUCACAAUGUCUCUAGCCAAAUGCCACAAUGUUACAAUGUCUCUAACCGAAUGCCACAAUGUCACAAUAUCUCUAGGUUCUCAUUAUCAUACCGAAAUGCCACUUUUGAUGCCACAAAGUUUUCUAGGUUCUCAAUGUCAUUGCACUAUAGAGUUCUUGUUCAUAACCCAAUCCUCAUUCACCUAGCCACUAGGUUCCAUCUCAUAUUCCUACAAAUACCAUGAGAGCAUGUAAGGACUGGAAUAACCAACAAAACUACUUUGCAAUACAUGAUUACUAUACAUGAACAUAUAUGGCCAAUAAAGCGACAUAGACAUAAAAGGAAAUCCGAAUGUUCCGGAUAGCACCCCCCACCUCUAAACUAUGUCGAGGUGCGAGAAUCCAAGCUUUAUGAUUUAUGGACGUCGAUUCGGCUCGACCCGACGCAAACAAAGCAAAAAACUAUACUUUUUCUUAAGAACUUGCCGCACGCCCGUAGGAACUCCAAACUGAGUUACCCACUGAGUCGGUUUUACCUUCAAUUAGGUUUUUAUAAGGUUAAUUUACAUCUAACCCAAUAUAUGGCAAAACCCCCAUUCAAAACCCUAGAAACCCACUAUUGCAAGAAUACUUCAUAUAACUCAUGAUUCAAGCAAUAAAUGAGAAUAACAUCACCUAGGGUUCAUCCAACUCCAUUCCUAGGGUAUUUAAACCAAACCCUAACCAUCUACCAUUAAAGCUCAUGAAGCUUACCUCAAAACUAAGCUUCCUCUUGAGCCAAGGAAGAAGAAGAGGAAGAAGCUUCACCUCCAAGCACUACUCUCCACCAACUCCUCCUCUUGGUCCAACCCUAGGAGAGAGAGAGAGAGAGAGAGAGAACUUAGAGAGAGAGAGAGAGAGACUUUUCUCUUAUGUUUGGAGAGUGUGAGGGAAUGAGAGGAAAUGAGUUGGAACCCACUCAUAUACACUCCCAUUGCAUAAUAGCACCAAGCCCCCUCACACAAAAUAGGGUUUCACAAACCCACCCAUUUCACGAGUACGAGGUCCGGACCCUGCACAAGGUCCGGACCACAUAAGCAUUUCCAUUGAGAAAUUUUCUGAAAAUUUCCCACAAUGCUUACCAGGGUCCUUCAUACCCUUAUAAACCAUUCCGACGCAUUUCAGACAUUUACGAACCUCUCCGAAGCAUCCAAAACCACACUUUGGUCAAUUUCGACCGAAGUUCGGUUUUACGCGUCGAGGAUUUAUUACCUUACAUCAACCAUUUCUACACAACCCAAUGAUCUGCCUUUUUCCCGUUGAAGAUCCGAGGAUUGCACCUCCUGAAUUCAUUCAAACAGUCCAUCAGCCGAUCCUGCUCCUCACCUGACACCAUCGCCUGUAAGACUGUCCCUGCAUUAGCCACAUGAAUCGGCGGUGUCACCACUGUCUCCUUCCUAGGCUCGGCACUCAGGGCUACACGCGAAGUGUCUGGUGCUAGUGACUGUGCCCUCGCAGUCGCACCUCUGGCCGGUGCUGGUGGUGUAGGGUCCUGAGCCACCCUGGUAGCGGCCUGCUGGAGUAGCAAAUCCUCUAGUCGUUUCAUCUUCGCCUCCUGUCGGAGCGUUGCAUUCGCUUGCUGUUGCGCCGCCGCCUACUGCUGCACCACUAAGUCUGUCAACACUACAAGCUGAUCUCUCAACUCACGGACCUCACUAGUUCCAGAGGUAACGGAGGUCUCCAACUCCUCAGCAUCAGCUGCCUCGGCCGCCUGGCGGUCCUAUAACGAGUCGAAGGCAUUUCGAGCUGCAACAAACAUAACAAGUGCAAGUUAGUAAAACCAACGCUAUCGCAAUCCCAAUCAAUUAAAAUAACAUCCCAAUCAUGCGAAAGUAAUGAAAUGUGCCACACAACUAACUUUCAAUGUCACGUUGUCGGCCGCCAACGUGACUUUCCGUGAAAUUAGUAAUUGUACAUUUCGAUCAAACUCCAACAAUUCGGAGUUAAUUAAGUACCCAAUCAUAAUACUUUCGCUCCAAAAUUAAAUAGACCCCCCGUCUCUCACGAGCCUAUUUCCUAUAGUCCAGCUAGCCUAAGGUUUGCUACGUCCACUGUAACAUACCAGAUUUUGGUAUAAAAAUAAAAAUAAAUAAAAAUAAAGUGAGAUACUAUUUUUAUUGGAUUUAGAGGAGUAAAAUAUAAGUCAGAAGUGACUUGUGCUGAAAUCGGAAUGAAAGCAGAAAAUCUAGAAUUUUUUGUUGGAAACGGGACAGAUAAAUUAGCAGAAAAUACACAGUCUCAGAAAAUUAUGAAAAUUGGAGGAUAAGUCAGAAAUAUUUUUAUGAGACUAGAUUUAAAGUUUCAUAUUUUUUUGACACCCGGAAGGUGGAAAAUAAAAUCCGACAGCUAUCUGAUAAAGAUUACAGUUCGGUACAAUUUUCGGUGACCAAAUGGGGUCGAAACUAAAAACUUAAAAUAUAUUCUUACUCAGUACGUUAAACUCAGCCUGUCUGUCAAAUUUGAGCGCAAACAGACAUUCAGAAGGGCUCCAACUGUUCCGAACUGCUAAACUGCCUGGAGUGAAUAGUGUUGAGGGGCUAUAAGUGUAUAAGAAGCAUUUGCUUCUUCUUCCUCUCCUUCAACCCGAGCGCACACACGCACGCACGCAUGGAGAGAGGAGAGAAACUCUCCUUUCUCUCUCUAAAGAUCUCUCUCAUCUCUCUAUAUCUCUCGCUCAAAUUCGCGGUGUUGGCGAAGAAGAUGCUCGCGAACGCGUUGAGAGCGACGGAUCGAGCUUUCGUGCGCCCGUUGGAGCGGCGUGUUUUCGUCGCGGCAUUCACAUUGUGGUAAGCUUUUGAGAUUUGGUUUAAUCCUUAGCUUUAAGUGUUCUAAUAGCCUCUAAUGAGCAUUGUUGGCAUGUUGCUCCAUUUAAUUUGGAUUAUUUGGAGGUUAAUUGCAUCUAGGGCUCAAAAAUGCUAGUUUUGUAAAUAUGAGGGUUUGAUCUCAUUUGACCCUCUGUAAACCUAAUUGCUAGGUAAACGAAUGCGUUGGCGAAGUCGGUUCGGCGAUUCGUCGAGCCGUUGCGAAGUUAUUAAAGAAACGGACGUUUAGGCUUCGUUUCCGCCUGGAGGGCCGAGGCGACAUCGUAAACCCAUAAAACGGAUUUGAAGCAUCGUGGCACAUAACCGAAGACCUUUAAUUUUCAGAUCAUGAAUUGGAGGCCGUUCGGGUGGUCGCGCGANAAGUCGGUUCGGCGAUUCGUCGAGCCGUUGCGAAGUUAUUAAAGAAACGGACGUUUAGGCUUCGUUUCCGCCUGGAGGGCCGAGGCGACAUCGUAAACCCAUAAAACGGAUUUGAAGCAUCGUGGCACAUAACCGAAGACCUUUAAUUUUCAGAUCAUGAAUUGGAGGCCGUUCGGGUGGUCGCGCGAGAGAUCAGGCCAAACCGGGUGCCGGGUGUCGCGGAAGGCCGAUUGCAAGUGUCGACAAGCAAUCGGAAUGCGAAAUGAGGUGGAUUGUGCUUACUGAAGCGACUAGGUCGCCUGUAUGUCUAAGUAAAGUGAAAUUCAUGUUGAUGCAUAUAAAUGCUAGAUGGAUGCAUGUAGUAAAUGCUAAAGGGAAUGCAUGCUAAAGAUGUAAUAUAGAAAUGCUAGAAUGCAUGAUGAUAUAGUAUAAAUGAUGCUAGUUGAAAGUAUGAGAUAAAUAACAUUUUGCAUGUUAACAUAAAGUAGAGAACAUGCUAGUUGUAAUGUAUAAUGAUAAGUUGUAAAAAUGCUAAUUUGGAUAAGCAUGUCAUAUAAAUGCUAGAUAAUGUAUGUUAAUUAUCUAAAGUAAGAUGCUAAGAGAUUGUACAUGAAGUGACAUAAUGUAAGAAUGCUAAAUAAAUGCAUGAAUGAUGUGGUAUAGAAAUGCUAGAAUAUACGCAUUGGUUAAUGUUAGUUAAAUGCAUGUCAUGAAAAUGCUAAAUGUAAACGUGGGGCCAAUACUAAGAUAUACUUGAUGAUCAUGUUGUAGAGAUACUAAUGUUAAGUAAAGGAUAUGGGCAUGUGGACAUAUAUAUAUAUAUGCACAUAGAUCGAGUGGCAUUGAACAUAGUGUAUUGAACAUAGGUUAAAUAUGGAUGAUAUUGAACCUAGUGUUAAAGAACAUAGGUUGGACAAGAACCUAAUGUUAAAAAACAUAGGUUGGACAAGAACCUAGUGUUAAAAAAUAUAGGUUGGACAAGGACCUAGUGUUAGAGAACAUAGGUUGGACAAGAACCUAGUGUUAAAGAACAUAGGUGGAGAAUGAACCUAGAGGUAAUUAAAUCUAGAGUCAAGUAAACCUAUGUUAUGGCAAGUGUGGCCUAGAGAGUGGCAUAUGUGACAAGGUAGGAUCUGGUUAUGUCAUUGUGGCUAUAUGUAUUCCCAAAUUGGGAAUUGGAUCAUACUCACAUUGGUUCCGGCUUGAGGGAGGUAGCUCCUCCUCAAGCAGUGUACUCCGGAGUGUAGACACCACGGGGAGAGUACCCCGGCGAAGAUCCCUCGGGUGGUAGUGCCAAGUGCCACCCCCGAUAGACGGGAUAUAUGGAUUGUGAGCUUGGGGUAACAACUGUUAACCGAGAUAAUUGGGUAAAGGCCAAAGUGAAUGUGUGAAAAUAGGCAUUAUGAGCUAUGGAUUUGGUAUUCCAGUUGAGUGGAUUUAUGGCCGAGGUGCAUGUGGGACGUUCUUCACCUCGAGCCUGGAUGUAUGCGGUAUUCCGCAGAUGAUUGACUCGAGACCGAGUCGGGUGGUUAGCUUGGCUAGGGUAGAGGAAAAUCUUAGGAGCAAAUAACUAAUGAUGUAAAGUGACAAGAUGUAUAAAUUAUGGAAAAGCUAUGGAUAGCAUGAUAGAAAGUAAAAUCAUUUAUUCUACUUGUAUAGUUGCAUAAUUCGCAUAUAGCAUGGCAUUAUUGCAUUCGUGAGGCAAAGCAUGGUUUUAUCAGUUGCAUAAUAAAGAUAUAUAUCUAUCUGUUUAUUGAACUAACUUGCAGUUGCCUCUCUUGGACCUAUUGGUCGAGCUUUUCUCUUGGGUAGCCGUGCCCACUGGAAACCAUGGAGUUGGUUCUCACCCCACGUUGUUUUGGGGUGUUACAGGUAUACACGUGAGCGGCGCAGCGGCGCGAGGCGAGGGCGUAGCUCCAUAGUUAGCGCCCUACCACCAAGACCAGAGAUAGCGGUACCUUGAGUCGGCCUUUACUUAGGGAUGUAAGAAAAUGAAAAGAAUCAAGUUGUAAUAAUUUGUAAUAAAAGCUUGAUUGUAUUUGGAAAUUAAAUGUAAUAAGUAAUUGUGAUGCAAAAUGUAUCUAGUGAAUGUGAAUGCUUGUAAUAGCAAGUAGAUUAUGUUUUUGAUACUCCCUUAUGCAAUCUUUGAUUGAAAUGUGUUCCUUGUUGGAACUUUGUACAUUGUAUUGAUUGCGACGCCUUGAAUGUACAGGGGAGACUCUGUCCGCGGUACAGGGGAAACCCUGUCCGUUCGGCGGUCUGUCGGCGGCGCCGCGACCUGGCCAAAUAGGCGGGUGGUCGCGGGGCGUGACAUCCACUAAGACUCAACCCUAGGCUCUGAUACCAUUAUAAUCUGUCACGCACGGGCCUCAGCAGAAGCCUAUCCGGUACGCGCACAGACCCGCCGUAUGCCCGGUGCAUACUAGGCGUCUACAAUAAACAAGUUAGAAGUACUACAAGUAGAUGGGAACAACUAACAUGAUAUCAGACCAUACAUCAUAAUAUACUCUCAAAUAACAAGUAAAAAGGAAAGUAGAACUACUAUCAUAAACAUCUCCAAAGUAUAAAUAUACAUUAAGUAGCUACAAAAUAAUCAACCAACAACACAGGGUGGUUACUAUACAUCCAAGAUAAAACACCUCUCCAACUAGUAAAAGGAAAGGCAACCACCUAGUAGGAACUCCAAGAUAUGCCUAGCUAGACGCGACACUCUUGCCGCGAUCCCUAGCCUUUCCCGCUAUAUUUGGCUCUGUAAACAAAACAACAACAAACUGGGCAUGAGAACUAUUAGUCAAUAGUUUCUAGUAGGAAAGCCGCCGACAUCAGCGAAUUACACCACUAUGUCUCUGAGGCAUAAAUAGUAAGCAUGCAUAACUAUAACACGAUAUGAAUAUUAAACAAUUAAUGAAUUGCUAAUACAACUGUAAGGAAGUGAAUCAUCGAAAUCCGAGGAUCAGACUUCGAUUUGGAAUCGACUAUUCGUCGAGUGUGUAGGCUUCGAAAAGUCCGAAGGUGAUUAUAAUGCAUAAAGUGCCUUAAGGAAAGGUCCACGAGAGCACCAGUGCAAAACUUGCACUGGAGCAAAAAUGCUCUCGGGGACCGAUCCCUCGCAGGGAGGGACCGGUCCCAUCAGGCUGGGCUGCGGAGGUCUCUGAUGAGACCGGUCCCUGGCAGGCAGGGACCGGUUCCCGAACGUUGGCCCAGCAUGAAUUGGGCGAAAUUUGGCUAAGUCCUGAGAAUGCAGCUCUCGGGAACCGGUCUCUCGGGCAAGGACCGGUCUCCCGGGGACCGGUCUCUCAGGCAAGGACCGGUUCCCGAACGUGAAAACUCCUCUGCUCGAGAUGGCAGCUCUCGGGGACCGAUCUCCCCGAGCUGGGACCGGUCCCUCACUGCGAAAAUGCCCAGAGAGGGCUGGAUCAGAGGAUGAAAAGUUGAGGGGGCUAUCUGCAAAAUGGCCUUUAAUAGAGGUGGGGGACCCUUCUCUUUCCCUCAUUGCUCUCUAACUCUCUCUCUUCCUUUCCCUCUCUCUCUCUAGAAAGAAAAGAAAGAGAAGAAGGAGAAGAAGAAGAAGAAGAAGAAGGAAAAGAAAAGGAAAAAGAAGGAGAAGAUCAAGAAGAAGGAGAAGAUCAUCUUCUUCCCUCUCUCCUUCAAGCUAGGGCAAGCUUGGAGCUUGGUUUAGAGGUAAGCUCCAAACCCAUCCAUGGUGGAUUUCUUAGGAUUGGGUUUUAUUGCUUAGAAUUGGUUCAAAUAGAACCUAGAGGAGAUGAGUAGAUGGUUCGGGCUUGCAAUUGAAGCUCGCACCACGGAUUUCUUCCCCGUUGCCAUCCUAGGGCACGGAAUUGGGAUUUUGGAAAUUUAGGGUUUUGAUCUAAUCUAAUAGGUCGCAAACCUAAUUGCUAGGUCUCGGAACGCGUCGGCGAAGUCGGUUUCUCGAUCCGACGAGUGGGUGAGGAGAAAUCGCCGAAUCGAGUACUUGAGGGCUCGCUUCGCCCCGAGGAGUUAGAGCGACACGCAAGAACCGCAACGUCGAGUUUUCUAUCAUCGCGGCAUCACCAAGAGGUGGGUGGUGUCCAUCCCGAAGCAAUCGGGCCCCCCUUCUAUGUCUUAGUACAUGUCGAUUCUUGCAUCUUGUAUUAUUGCAUUAUAGGAUGAUUGUGCAUUGCCUUUCCUUAUGCUUUCCUUGAUGAUAUCGUAGCAUGUAUUCGAUACUUGACAUAGUGGAUCGAUAAGGAUUGGGUCGAGACUUGUGAACCCUAUAGUGCAGAGAAAGAAAUGGGCUCAAUGGUUGAUCUAAUGAUAAACAAAAAACGAGUGGCAUCUAGUCGAUAGUAAAUCAUGGACGAGUGGCAAUCUAGCUUAUAGUNAACGAGUGGCAUCUAGUCGAUAGUAAAUCAUGGACGAGUGGCAAUCUAGCUUAUAGUGUAUAAGAAAACAAGUGAUGCAUGUUAAACUUGGUGUAUACGACGCCUAUGGACUACAUGAUGGUAGUAACCUUAGAGGAUAGAGUACCCUAGAGUGGAGAGAAUUGGAUCAUGCUCACGGUCUGUUUUUAAAUAUUGUGAUGGAAGCCCCACACAAGUAGUGCGCUCCGGAGUUGGUCACGUAGGAUUGCCUAUUUUGGGUCCCAAGGGAUUGCCUAUUUUGGGCCUCGGCAGACGGUCUCGGUUCGUAGUGCGAGUUGACCCUCCCUACCUUCGAGAUGGCUAGUGAGCAGUAGGCGAGCUUUCAGAGAAGCCAUGAGAUUGAGAAACAAGUAAAUGAGAUUGAUGAAUAAGUGCAUAGCUUUACUUUUUGGACAUGUUGACGGGUUAGUUGUUUACCAUUUCAUUGUACAUGCAUCCAUAUGUUUAUGAUUCGGGCAUAGUAGUGUAGCUUUACUAUCCUGUCUUUACCGCUUUGCUUAUUACCUAUCUAUCUAUCCGGUUAUCUACUUGUGCCCACUUGGACCUAGUGGGGGAACCGGCGGAGUCGCGGCCGAACCCACUGGGAACUAUGGAAGAUAGUUCUCACCCCACUUUUUACAGGUUUGAGUUCGGGCGUCCCCGGUAAGCGUGAGGAUCGUGGUAAGGGCCUGGCGCUCUAGUCGUAUUAGCUACCUCCCUUUUGUAUUAGCUGUCACCCUUUUUGUAUUUGAGAGUAGAUGUCGUAUAGGGUGAGGUUCGAGUGAUUGUAUUUAUAUUUUGGGAGAAAGUAAAAGAUGUAAUUAAAUAUACAUAUUAUGUCAAAUGAAUGUAAUAGAUAGUCUCUUCUCUCUUCAUGUACUUGUAUAUGUUUUUUAACUUGUAUCUUGCUCUCGUCUUGUUGCACUGGUGGUGCUCCUUGAUCGUGUAUUUAUGAAUUGAUUCCUGGGCAAAUUUUUAUACAUGAUCUGUUGGUUAGCCUUGGGCGGACAGGGGAGGUCCUAUCCGUUCGGCGUCUGUUCGACGCGCCCGGGCCGGACCAAAUUGGCAACGGUCUCGGGGCGUGACAACAACCAUGCCUCCAAUGCACAUAAAAUUUAACAAAAAUAAAGACUACUCUAAUAUGAGUAAACAUGCUAAUGUCAUGUCCACCAAUGUACACUAUCUAGUAAUGAUAGUGAAUUAAUUCAUUUGGUUAACUUCACACAAUUUAUAAGGACCUACACGAGUAUAGUCUGGCUUGCGCCGUGCCUAAUGGGCCCCGUGGUAGUAUACACUCCCCACGGCAAUCCACUUCGGUGCCUAAUCCCUCACGGGCGAACAUGAUGUCGCGUAGGCCAACUCCGGAGUGCCGGCUUAUUAGGAGCGACCCUCACAAGCAUGUGCGAAUGAGCACAAUGGCAAGCAAGCAUGAUCCACAAUACAAAGACUCAAUCGUCAUGUCUAAAACAAGGUAUGUCCUCUAACGACCCAUAGGUCGGAGAGUAUGUCACAAUGUCAAGUUCUAAUCAUCUAACUAAGUCAUAUACUUCAACAUUAAGUUCAUACUACAUGUUAUCAUAUAAUUGCCAUUUUCACUUGUCUAUACAAGUAUACUACAAGUCAUGUAAGGUAUACUACACAUAAUUAAUAAGCAACACUUUCCACUGCAUAAAGGUUUGACUUAGCCAUAUGUGAUAUACAUAAUUAAAACAUCCAAAAUUCACUUAUAAUGCAUCUAACAUGAGUAUGCAUGAUUUCCAAUUGUAUAACAAUAACAAGAAGAUAGGGAGAGUUCAUCCAUUUCGGUGAGGUCAAACCUACCGGAUAUUCCUCGGAUCCCUUCGUUGCUCGAACGAAGAUGCCUUAUAGCCUUCUAGCAUCCUAACAAUAAUUCUAAAUCAAUUAGGACUUUUUAAUACGCCUCCCAUAAAAUCCUCAUAAUUCAACCCAAAAAAUAGAUAGAAAGAUACCUGAAAUAGAGAAGAACUCUAUUCCACACUCCACCUAAGGUUGGGAUGUUUCAAGUCGAACCUAGAAGAGAGUUUAACCAUUUCCAAUUAAGUUCUAAAGCUCAGCCAAGAACAAUCCCAAAAUCAAACUCCAAUUCUACCAAAAUCGCAUACCGAAAAGGCAAAUAAAAAGCUAAGCUUUCAAAGCUCUAAGCCAAACCCAACCUUGAGCUAGAAUUGGAAGUUUAUCCUCAAACUAACCUCCAACACAACCAACCUUCACCAAGGUGUAAGAACAAUCCUCCAAAGAAAAGGAGAAUAAAAUAAGAGCAAUCCCCAAAUUCACAAAGAAAUUGGAAAUGAAAGCUAGAGAGAGAAAGAGGAGAAGCCUACCAGUUUUUCUCCAAGCUCUAGCACAAUGAGAGCCAGCUCGGGUCGGUUGCGGAUUAACCCAAUGGCCAAAUUACUAAACCCCUCACCAACUCAAUUUGCCGCAUUAUGUACCGGUACUCGUAUUGGAGUACCGGUACCCGGCACUCAAGUAUGCAAAAACCCGAGCGUGGGGUCUUCGGGCUUAAUGCAGUGUACCGGUACCCGCCUGAUACAGUACCGGUACUCAGCUCCAGUACCGAUACUCACCGACUCAGUACCGGUACCCAACACUUAACUUCUCAACUCGAGAGCUACCCAUUCUGGCAACCCUGGCCUUUGGAGUACCGGUAUCCCACUCAGGUACCGGUACUCAAUACUCAAAACCCUGCAAUUUGCAAAUUUUAGUGUACCGGUACCCGCCUGUUGCAGUACCGGUACUCAACUCCAAUACCGAUACUCACCGACUUAGUACCGGUACCCAACAUCCAACUUCUCAACUCGAGAGCUACCCAUUCUGGCAACCCUCUGGGGUACCGGUACCCCACUCAGGUACCGGAACUCAAUACUCAAAACCCUGCAAUUUGCAAACUUUAAUGUCAGUAUUCCAAUCUCGCACCUAGCGAGCUUAAGUAAGGAAUCGAUGCACUACUGUUGAUCCCCAAAACAGCUAGAAUAGUUCAAAACACUAUUUUUACACUAGAACAUUGCAAUUUGCUAAAGUUCAGUGUACUAUAAAUAUAAAACCUGGAAUUUCUUUGCCGCUACACAGAUCUCAAUUCCUCAAAACCUGAGAGCUUACUCCUCACCAUUUUGUAUUGUGUACCGAUACCUAGAUUCCAGUACUAAUACUCAAUAUAAAAUUUGCAACUUGGCAGAUUUAUCAUCUCAGAAUCCGUUUUCGCGCCUGGUUUGCACCGAAAAUACUCGAAUAUUUUCCAAACCUCGUCGGAACUAUUCGAAUAGCCCUUUUAGGACUCUUUUCACUAGAACUCCAUAAUUUGUAGAAGUUCAUUGCACUACAGGCAUAAUAACUCAAAACUAAUCAAAAGAUUUGAUGGAAAAUGCGGCAGGCUUUGAAUUCUUCUAAGCUCAAAAGAUUGAAUGGAAAAUGCAGCAGGCUUUGAAUUCUUCUAAGCUGUUCAAGCACUGAAUACUCCUUAACUAGGAAAAGUCUGCAAACACAGAGUUCCACUUACGGGUUGAGAAAAGAAUAAAAAAGAGGGGAAGCAAGAAAAAGUACUAAGACAAAGAAUAAUUUAUCAAUCUCUCCAAAGGCACUGAUGGAACUCACAAGCUAAGCACUGACGGAAAUCACAAGAUAGCACGGCCCCCCCCAAAAAAAAAAAAAAAAAAACCAACAAACAAACACGCAAACAAACAAACGUCCACUGCAUGGUAAUAGAGAUAUGAGUUUCUUUCACUAGCUCUCUGGUUUUCUCAAUUGAUUUGGGCUGCGAAAGAGAAAAAUAGCAAAAGCUAAAAACUUUAGGCAUUACCUUUUACACAACAACAACUUAUUGCAAUGCUGACUGUCAUCGAGCAUCAAUAAAAAAUCAACUUAAGCAGUCAGUAAUGAGGAAAGAAAUAAGCAGCCAACAUAAAAAGUCAAUUUGACAUAUCGAGCAAGCAAAAUAAACCCUACAAGAGUCUGUAGUUUUAUACAUCUAAAAUGUAGUCACUGACGAUAAUGACGAUUACAAGCAGAGUGCUGAUGAAAUAUGUUGGUUCUGCACUAAAUUACACUGCAUAGGAAAUAUAAUAAAAACCAUCUAUAUAGUAAGCACAAUGAUGGUCAUAGAGAAGGGCACAAGCCCCAAAUUCUUGUUCAGUUGUGUAUCUUGAGACGCUUAACCGACCGGAUGAAAGCUCUGCAACAAAUUAAAUCAGAACCGACUACAAUGAGGAGAUAAUGUUGCAUAGAUUCAGAGGUCAAUAGUUAGGGAAGAUUAAGGACACAAUCAACUUACUCCCACGGCACAUCACCCACCAACAUCCAGUCUCCAUCUCCAUCCUCAUAAGUGACCACGUAGUGAUGACGAUUAUUAGGCGUUUGCUUACAUGUUUUACCAUCUGCGCCAUUCCCAUUGUCAAGAUUAUGAUCCCAAUUAGUAUGAGCGCCAAAGAGGAAACAAGUUUGGAGUGCAAAAUGGUAGAAAUUUUUUUAAAAAAAAAAGGGUAAAUGUUUAUAAAUCAUACCCAACCAAUUUCUUCCGUUGACUCUUGACAAAAACAUACUAAAGUUAAACAAAAGGCCAUUUGAUUAAUUGAUUCACGGUUUGAAAUAUUCCAAUAAUUCUAAAUAUUUUUAAUUGAAAAUAUUCAAAUUAUUACUAUUCAGCUCAACUCAAGUUGGAUAAGAUAGUUGUACAAGAUAUUAGUGAAGUACUGAAAUUAUUAUAGUUUCACAUAUAGGUGGCACGAAUACUAAAUUAUUAUGAUUUAUGAGAUAUUUUUAUUUUCAUAUUUAAUUAAUGAGAAUCAUUAGUAGUACGUCGAUAAAAAAAAAAAUACUAAUUCUAACAAACCUCUCUAACUCAACUUGCUGACAAGUAAGUAACUAGUAUAUCAUUAAUUCCAAAUAUAAAAUAUACGCCAUUCUCCGAACUUUACAAACCUGAAACUAAACAGCCUGAAAUUAAAAGAAUAUAUAUACGGUAAAAUCAAGAUUUUAAGCAUUCGAAUAAUAAUUUCAAGAUGCACCAUAAUAAUUUAGAUAAGGUCUAUAGGAUGAUACCAUUCGGCCUGUUGGGGAACAUGCGUUCAAGCGUGCGGAAGAGUGCUUCAUAGGAGUCGCAAAGGGAGAGAUCCACCUUCCUCCCGAUGGCCACCCCUUCCAUCUUAACUUUCACAAAAAUCGCUGCCCUUGCGCUGCCGCCCCCGCUGCCGCUCCUUUUGAUCGGCGGCCACCCCACCAACACUCUGCCCCCAUUAGUACAUAUAUAUAUAUAUAUAUACACCACGUACGUCUCAAUUCAGUGGAAGCAACAGAACAAGAUUGGCAAAAUCAUUCCGAAAAGUUUCUCUUCAUCAUUUAACUUACUUGCCGAAGGCCUUUUGAUGAUCACUAUCAUCAUCUUUAUCAUCGUUUCCUCGGCCUUUUUGCUCGAAGAGGGGCAAUGCGGCCCUCUCGCUGGUCUCGUCGAAUCCCCUUUUCCUGCGUGACAGGGAGGAGGAGGAGGAGGAGGAGGAGGAGGAGGAGGAGGAGGAGGAUGUGUAAUCAUUGAGAUCGAUUUCGUUUAUCAAAUCGUUGUUGGGUAAGGCUAGUCCCAAUUCAAGCUCCAUUUUAUUUUGUGUUCUUCCUUUUUUACAUUCGGACGUCGCAAAAGAAAAUAGUGAGAGAUGCAAGCUUUAUUAAUUUGACGAAUUAAUGGACUAGACUGGAUAGAAAAACGGUGAAGGUUUUUAUUUAUUUAUAGCGCGAGCGCGAGAGCGAGAGAAGACGAGACGAUCGAGCAAAAUGGCAUGGCAUGAGAGUGAGGGAAGAGAUAUAGAGGGGGAACAGCGUGCAGGGCUUUUAGGGGACCCAACACCCCACCGACACGGGUCCUUUUCCUUGGAUGGUCCUCUUAUUAGGCUCUAGUACUAGUACUAGUACUAGUAGUGUAGUGUUUGUCUCCUUAAUUUCCCUUCUUUUUAAGUCGGGGACAAUUUAAGGAAAGGGGGGAGGCAAAUCUAUGCGGGGCCCAGCUGUUUCUCCAGCCAUUUCCCUCUCCGAGCACGACAUGGGGAGGCAGAGAGCAUGUGGGUGUUUCAUGUCAGCGCAAAAAUUUGGCUGCACCACAUGCACCGCAGUCCAAAUGUUAAAUAAUUAAUACGGACACGGACCGCAAAUUCAAAAUCUACCCCCUCCAUUGCAGUUUUUCUCCUAGCUAGUUUUAUAAAUAUUAAUUUGUGCAUAAAAUAUUUUAUGAGUGGAGUGGAUGAUAGAUAAUCAUGCAGAUCAAAGCCGCGUUGAGAGAGAAGAAGCACCAGAAUGAUGAGAGAGUUAUACACGAAAAAUCAAUUUUUCAACAAAAAUAAAAAAUAUUGUUAAUUGACUCUAAAAACUAAUUAUAUAUAAAGGGUCGAUAUGCCCAAAUUCUACUAUAAACAAACAUAAUAAAUUUUAAUAUAUUUUUAAACCAAGUCAGAUUAAAAACAAUCAAAUAAUUAGACUCAAAAAAGAAAAAAAUGUACAACUUUCUAAAAAUAACUUAAAACGGAGACCGAAACAAUUAAAUUUGAGCUCCAAACUCGGCCAAAACGGCCUUACCGUUCAAUUUGUAGAUUUCAAAAAGUAUGUUUCGAGUUGAGAUUGCUCACUGAAAUCACACGCUCGAGCUAAAAGUUAUAACCGUCUAUAGAUUUCUCACACCAAUUAUAAAAAUUACCAAGGUCGGGCAAAUUUCGUUCAGCUUGAUUGAGUCGCCCUUUUCAAGAAACUCUAACGUUAAAUUACCCGCAUCAGAUUAUUUGUAAUUUCUAUCUGUAUGUUCCUUUUUUCUUUUUUUUUUUUGGCAACAAAAAUUUAAAAACUUAAGAGGAAUUUUUUGAUUUUUUUAUUUUUAAAUAAAUCGUUAUCCAUGUACUAGCUAGCUAGGCUGCAUUACAGGCUAACAACCUUAAACACAAGAGUAAUGUACUUCUGUAGGUAUAUCUAAUUGUAUAUAUAUAUAUAAUUAGUAUUUUGGAAAGAAAAUAAGUGACAAUAUUAAUUGCUACAUGAAGCUUGCAAAUCAUUCGAUCUAUUUAAUAUUAUUUGAAUGGCCUGUACAACAAAAUUCAUAAGUUUUGAAUCCUAGUUUCUUUUGAGUUGAAUAAAAUUUCUUUUGAUAAUGUUGAUUUUAAGACUACUUCUUGACGAAGUAAUAGAAUUUAAUACUCGUGAUUAUUUAUUGAUAGACAUUUUAAUAAUUUUCAAAAGUCAGAUCAUAGUAAUUUUUGUACAAUAGAUGGAUAAGAUACACACGGGUCAGGAAAUGGUUAUUAAUUUCUCCUUGUCAGCCGUUAGGGUUGGGCUGUUGAGGGGAUCGGAAUCUUAAUUCGUGUGUGUAGUGUUGUGUGCAUUCAUUGGAUGCUGGUGGGGCCAGCAUUGAAUUAAUCCAUUAACCAAAACGCUGUUUAUAUGGGUUGGGGAAAGUCACUUGUGGUCCAUGCCACCGAAAGGGGUUAUUCUUUUGCUAAGGACCCAUCUAGGACUAUAUAUAUAUAUAUAUAUAUAUAUAGGUUCCUCAUUUUAAAUUAUUUUAGCUUCAUCACGUAAUAUUUUCAUGGCGAUGCUGUCAUCCUUAGUGGGUAUACAAAAUAUUCAUAACUUAACUUAAAGAGAGGAUAUAUUUUAUACUGGAAUAUUGUUUAGAAUUACCAACGGAGUCUAAGGCUUAGUUUGGGUGUGCAGUAGCGGUGGCAAAAGUAUUUCUAAAAGUUGUUGUAAAAAAGUUGUUUUAUAUAUAAACUGCUGUAGGAAAAGUAUGUAGACGUUUGGCAAAACAACCAUAUAUGACUAUGGUAGCGUGAUAGUUUUUUCAUUCUAUGCGUUUGGUAAAUUAGUAUUCAAAACACUGUUAUAAUGUAAAAUGACUAAUCAGGACUUUUGAUUCGAAAGUUAUAUUGGUAAAUUAGUUUGGUAAAUAUGUAUUUAAACACCCUCAACUAUAUUUCAUUAGAAAAUAGGUCCUUCAACUAUGCUUUCUUUUGAAAAUUAAUAUUUUUUAUAAUUUUAUUUUAUUUUAUUUUAAUUAAUUUAAUUUACUAUUAACUUUUAUUCAUUAAAUAUUUUAAUUUUUGCUAAAAUAAACUAAACCUGCUAAAUAUGAUGAAACUUUUAAUAAAUUUACUAUAAUUUUUAAUCUAAUUUACUAAAAUCAGACAAUUUAAUAAAUAUAAAAUCAAAAGAAUAGAUACGACUUUCUUAUAUAUUUAUCUAUUAAUUUCAUAAGCAUGGUACUCAUGUACUACCAGCAUAUAUGUACAACUUUCAUCCUGUGAAUAAAAUAUGUUUUACUCAGCAUGCUCAACUAUAUCCAUAAAAGUGGCAGAUUUACAUGAACACCGUGACAAACAAAUUGAAAGCGAACUCCAAAAAUUAAAGUUAAAGAAAAAAACAAGCACUAAUUAAAUUUCUUUCGAAAUACCAAAUCCAACAUACUAAUGAGGUUUUUCAUAAAGUUAAAAAUAAUUAAUCUGUAAAUAUGCGUUUUCAAAUUAAGAACAUAGUGAAGCUGAAUGAUCAUCUAUUCCUUAAACUAGCUGCAAUAUUAUCCCUCAAUUGGAUCAUUUCAUUAACCCCGUCGUCAGAUACAUCCUCACCAUCGUCAUCAUUGUCCCUAUCAUCAUCUCUUUCCACUUCAGGCACAAAAUCUGUAUUUUCAUCAUAUUCCUGAAAAUCUUUAUCAUUCCGUGAGCAAUGCCUUCGUAUAUAAUUAUGUAUUGCCAUUGUUGCAACUACUAUCAGUACUCUUGUUGAAUGGAUAACUAGGCAUAUCUCGUAAUAUAUUCCACUUCUUCUUUCAAAUUCCAAAAGUUCUCUCGGUCACACUACGUAAUGAUGAGUGCGUAUAAUUGAAUACCUCUUGUAAACCUAAUAGUUGCCCACCUCGACCAAAAUCUGGAAGAUGAUAUCUUUGAUUCUCAUACGGUCGUAAGAAUCCUCUAAUUUGAGGAUAUCCCGCAUCAACAAGAUAGUACUUUCCUGAUAACCAUGUAUUAAAAACAUUAUAAUUCUUUUAAUAGAAAAAAAAGAAAGGAUUAUUUAAAAUAGUAAACUUAAGCAAAAUGAAUACCAAGCGAAGGAUGAGGGAACUUCAAUUCUGGAGUUCUUAGUGCCCUCAAAAAAAAUCCUAGUAUCAUAUGCGGUACCUUCCCAACCAGCAUACACAAAUGUAAAGCACAUGUUAAAAUCGCACACUGCCAUAACAUUUUGUGUCGGUUUACCUGACCUUCCAAUGUAAGGUACUUGUUUUUCGGGAGGUAAACGAGCUUGCACAUGAGUUCCAUCAAUCGCACCUAUGCAAUCCUACAAGUAUUCAUUUCUUAAGAAUGAAAUACAUAUGAAAAUCACAACAAUUAAUGUUUAUUCAAGGCAAAGUCAAAAAAAUAAAUUUAUCAACAAAAAAAAGGUAAUAUUGCUCUACUUUACCUUGAAAUGAGGCAUAUAUAUUUGAUCUUUUCUUAUUGGUUCUGGAAUGUUGUUGAAUUGCGAAUCAAGUGGUGUAAUUAUGUCGCAGGCCAUACGUGAAACACAAGAAAGAAUGUACGUAAAAUACCUACUGAUUGUCUCGCCUAAUCUUUGAAAAUGCUCACGUAUAACUCUAUUUGAUGCUCCAUGUCCCAAUAUGUAUAAAAACAUUGCUAGAAUUUCUAUUGUCGAAAUAUUUCUUGAUCCUUUCAAACCAUAUUUGGUUUGCAAAUCAUGCAAUAGACUAACGAAGACUUCCUUUGGCAUUCUAAAGUUUAUCAUGCAUCGAUCCCUAUGUCCGUAUAAUACAUCUCGCGUCCAAACUUCUCCUGUUUGUUUUGAAGUCAUACACGGAGUUUUGCAUAUGUACUUUUGGUAAUACAUAGAUAUUAAACAACUUCCUACAAAUACGAAGCUGUCAUAGUCAAUAUCGUCCUCCAACAUUGCUUCACAAUGACUUUCAUUGUCAGUGUAUUCAUUUUCAUUAUUUGAAGAACUGUGAGUAACAUAACAAUCCAUUACCUGCAUCAUGAAAUUUAUAAACUGCUUUUAUAACUAUACAACCAAGUUCACAUUAAUAUGCAUUAUACUCUCAUAACCUAUUCAUAUGCAUUCUACAUUACAAUAACACAAAUCGACCACAAAUGAAAUAUAAAUUUAAUGAAAAAUUUUUGUAUAUUAAAAUACGAAUACAAAAAAUUCAUCAUUGUUUUUGCUAUUUAUUGAUGUGCUAACAAAACAUCAAAAUAGUAUCAAAUGAUAUUGCUAAAGAGAAAAAUUAUUCAUAAAUAAUCCUAAAGGCAAUAAACUAUCCUAUUUUUUGUUCGCCGCUUCUUCCAUCCUGAGCCACCACUCUUUUGAGUCUGCUUCAAGUGCCAUGAACAUUUCCCUUUUAUCCUUAUUCAUUGGCAAUGUAGUAGCAAAGUAAUAAAGUGAGCUAUGUAAGGAAGUGAAUUCUCGAAAUCCGAAAGUUGUACUUCGCCCAGGAUCGACUAGUUGUCGAGUGAGUAUCCUUCGGGAAAUCUAAAGUUAUCCAAAAUACAAAAAGUGCAUUGGAGUUGAGUCCGCGAGAGCAUAUAGUGCAAAGUCUGCACUGGGCUGAAGUUGCUCUCGGGGACCGGUCGCUGGCAGGGAGAGACCGGUCCCCGAGGCUGGUGGUUGCUGGGGAUCUUUGAUGCAACCGGUCCCUGGCUGAGGAGAUCGGUCCCCGUGUGCGACGCCAGCGAGAAAAGCCAAAAUUUGGCUAAGUCCCGAAAAUCCAGCUCUCGGGAACCGGUCUCUCAGGCGAGGACCGGUCUCCCGAGGACCGGUCUCCCGGGGAGAGACCGGUUCCCGAACGCGUGAAGGGCCCCUGGCAGCAUGGGCUGCUCUCGGGGACCGGUCCCAAGCAUAGUUAAUUAAUUCGCGAAUUAUUCGCGAAUUUUUGGAAAUCCGAAUUAAACGGCCAUUUUCGAAUUUGUGGAAAAAAUUCGGAAAAAAACGGAAUUUUUUGACGAAAAAUACGUGUUCGCGUAUUAUUCGGCGGGCCGAAUUAUUCGGCCCAAAAAAAUGGACCAAGCCCACAGCCCACAACCCGCGCGCCUGCCCGCGCCUGCCCGGGCUCCCCCAUGGGCUCUUGGGCCGGUUGGCCCAAAACAAUAAAAUACAAAUAAAAAAAAUAAAAAUCUUUCCAAAUACCUCGCCUAGAUCAAAAAAAAAAAAAAAAAAUUUUUUCGAAUUUUUACUUAAUUAGCUUAAUUUUGUAGCUAUUUAUUCUUAUAUUUUUAAAAGAUAUGAAUAUUUAUGCUAAUAGCAUAAAUCUUGAGAGAAAAAAAUUUAAUUUAAUAGCCGAAUUUUUUAUCCCGAAUUUUUAAUUAGUAAACGUAUAAUAUCCGUAUAAAUCACGUAUCCGAAUAAUUGAUAAAUCCGUUUUUUAGCCGUAUUUUUCAACGAAUUUAAAAAUUCGAAGACGAAUUUUAUCCGAAUUAUACCCGUACCGAAUUUUUGCCGAAUCCGAAUUAACUAACUAUGGUCCCAAGUCGGGGAGACUGGUCCCUCCGCGCGAAUUCUGCCCAGUGAGGGCUGUGUACAGGGUGAAAAGUUGAGGGGCUAAAAUGGAUUUUGUUACAAUAGAGGGGUAUGUAGGCCCUCUCUCUCUCUCCCUCUCCCUCAGCCUCUCAUUCUCUCUCUCUCUCUCACUCUCUCUUGCUCCCUCUCUCUCUAGAAAAGAAAGAACAGAAGAGAAGGAGAAGAAAGAAGAGAAGAAGAAGAAGGAGGAGAAGAAGAAGAAGGAGGAGAUCAAGCUAGAGCGGCGAAUACCCGUCCGCUUGGCGCUGAUCGAGUCACCUCCGGCUGGCGCGGCGCCAUCGCGCGUCCCGCCGAUACAGGAACAUACGGGGCCCCUUCUUGAUAAGGCGAGGGCGCUGGAGUCGAUGCGACUGACGGAGUAGACGAGGCCCUUGCCGGACAGUCGCGACUAAUGUGUCCUUCUUGUCCACAAUUAAAGCACCGUCCUUGUCGUUGUCUACACUGCGGUGCCCGAUGGCCUCGAUCCCCACAGAUAGGGCACCGCUGCGGCCCACGGCCCCACGACUGCGACCGCGGAUGCUUCGGGGGCCUCCUCGAACUCGAUUGUCCCCCCGGACCACCGCUCGAUCGCUUCUUCCCCUUGUCCUGGGAUCCGGUCAACAACUCACGCUCCUCCCGCACAUGGGCAUCUCCAUGCUCUGCCCACAGCGCCUUAUUGAAAACCUCAGCGAAAGUUGUGAGCUGGAACAAUUGCACUGCCCGAUAUAUCCACGGCCGAAGUCCUCACAAGAACCACUCGGCUCGAUCCGCGUCGUCCUUGACCACGUCCGGGACGCAGUCUAUAAUGUGGGAGAACUCCUGCUCGUAGUCCGCCACCGAACGAUCUCCCUGCCUCAACUUACGAAACCUCUCCUUCAACUUCCGCUUCUCGGUGUCGGGGAAGUAGUUUCCGAAU
Molecule: long non-coding RNA, 54066 nt
Filed under: Ananas comosus (pineapple)
Lineage: Eukaryota; Viridiplantae; Streptophyta; Magnoliopsida; Poales; Bromeliaceae
Description: long non-coding RNA (ACOM_LNC042121)
Source: RNAcentral